Molecule: long non-coding RNA, 82749 nt
Filed under: Panax ginseng (ginseng)
Lineage: Eukaryota; Viridiplantae; Streptophyta; Magnoliopsida; Apiales; Araliaceae
Description: long non-coding RNA (PGIN_LNC011469)
Source: RNAcentral
CCUAACACGGUUCCCGGAUUCUAGGAGUUCUGCCACGCGUCGUUGGAGUAAUCGCCCACCUGUCAUUCUCCCCUAUUCAAUCAAUCAAUCAAUUCCGUACUUUUCGUGGAUUUCUCUCCUCCUCAGCCAACACGAAACCCUAACCCUAGCAAGGUACGAUUUCCUUGCCCACAUUCUUUUGGCGACUCUGCUGGGGAGGUGUAGAAUUCGUGAAGGGUAUGCCCACAACUCGAAGUGGGAGAACUACAGGAAGAGUUGCUUCACCAACAAAUAGCAUUACUUCCCCGGAUCCAGUUCCAAGGCAAGCAACUCAAGCUUUCCAAAGCGCAAAUCUGGAUUUUGACCAAUCACUUAUUAAAGACGCUUUGGAAGGGAGUUCAACAUCACUAUACAUGGCCAAUCAACAACAAACCAACGCAGAAAGGCAAGACGAGGAUGCAAGUGGAGAACAAAUGAAUGCUGUGCAACUGGAGAUGCUCAAAGCAUUGAAGGAAGCACGAGAAGGACAAGGUAUGAUGAUGGCCAUGAUGCUGGAGAUGCAAAGGAAGCAAGAAGAGAUGUGGAAUUUUCGCCAGCAAUUGAUGCAGAUCCAUACCUUCAAGGCCAUGUUCCCAGGCAAUUCGCAUGGAGAACAAGUAGGAGUGGAGGACAACAACAAUGGCAGCAACAACAAAGAGAACCAGAUUGUACCUCCAUUGACGGAAAGUCAAUCGGUUCCAGUAAUCAACUUGGAGCUCCAGAACAGUGGUGAUGGGCCACAACCUAGGUUGGAAGCAAGCCAACCUCAAACGAACAUCAUCCCAUCAUUUUCACAGGUGCAAAUGCCAAACAUUUCAAGCAAUGUCCAGCGAGUGAGCCAGCAACUUCCACCAGUGCCAGUUGUGCAUGAUGCAAGCGUGCAUCAACCAACCUCUCUACCAUACACAUUGCCGAUGCAGCAGUAUAUCACAACACCCCAGAGAGUUCAUGCCACAAGCCAGUACGUGACGAAGGAUGAUAUGAUCGACGUGAUCAAUCAACUUCGCAGACAGACAUCUCGACCCUCGGAGUUAGACUUUACUCCUCCUUACCCUGCACACAUUCGGAGGCAACCUUACCCAACAGGGUAUAUUGAGCACCCACCGCAGUUUCCAAAAUACAAUGGGGAGAAAGGAGAUGCCAGAGAACACGUUGCCAGGUUCGUAGAGUCGAUGUCUCUAUGGCUAGGAUAUGAUGAAGUAAACAACCACAACUUGUUGAUGAGGGAAUUCAACAAGACUUUGACGGAUAGUGCCUUCAGUUGGUACUACAAUUUGGAGAAGGGAUCAGUCCAUGAUUGGGAUGAUCAAAAAUUGCAAUUUUUUAAGAAAUUCUUCUAUGUGCGGAAACAGGUAACCAUCGUAGAGCUCAUGCGAUUCAAGCAGAAGCCAAACGAGGAGCUGUCAGAUUAUGUGGAUAGGUUCAGGGCCCAAGCACAGAAGUGUGCAGAGCCAAUUGAAGAAAAGAACUUGGUUAGCAUAUGCAACAAUGGUGCUUUAGACGCCUUCAAGCCCCACCUCAUCACCAAGGCUUGUGAUUCCUUCGCAAAUCUCUCAUCUUUUGCACAAGACUUGGGGGGAAUCAUGACAUUUCCCACCAGUCAUGCGAUGGAUACAUGGAAGAGCAAGAGGACAGCAACUGUGGCUUUAGUGGAUUCUCAGUCAAAAUCACAAGGGGGCAAGAGGGAGAAGAAUGAGAAAUUUGAACGAAACAGAGAAAAGCACAGGGACAAGUAUACUAGAAUGCCAGUUCCGGAGGCUAUCACAUGCAGCGAGAAGGCGUUCAGGAGCCUGUACGAACAAUGGGUCGAGUACGGAGUAGUGAAACCUCCAAGGCCCCGGUCGGUUGUAACUGAAGAAAUGAAAAGAAGAUCAGACUUCUGUGUAUACCACCAAUACGCAGGGCAUUCCACUAUGGACUGUUACAGUCUACGGAGGAUAUACCAUGAGAAACUGGCGGCUGGGGAGAUUGAACUAGGAGAAGAAACGUGCAACACCAUCACCCAUGGUGCAGUCCUGUAAGUCAAGAACUCAAAUAUUGGCUCUACGUACCAUCGAACAAACUUUGAACUACAGAUGAAUUAAAAAUCCACCCAAGAUGGUGGUCCACCAAAAAUGUAGGUUUAAGUCCUCUGGAAUAUCCUUUGCCAAGUAAAUUGGAUGACCAAGGGAGGAGGCACAAGAAUUGACGAAAAAAAAAAACCCACCCAAGAUGGUGGUCCACUCUAAACGGUGGUCAAGUCCUCUUAGACUGCACUUGCCAAGAAAUUGGACGACCCAAGUGACGAGGCACCCGAUUUCAAGUCCUCGUAGACUGCACUUGCCAAGAAAUUGGAUGACUCAAGUGACGAGGCACCCGAUUUCAAGUCCUCGUAGAUUACACUUGCCAAAAUAUUGGACGACCCAAGUGACGAGGCACCCAUUUUCAAGUCCUCGUAGACUGCACUUGCCAAGAAAUUGGACGACCCAAGUGACGAGGCACCCGAUUUCAAGUCCUCGUAGACUGCACUUGCCAAGAAAUUGGAUGACUCAAGUGACGAGGCACCCGAUUUCAAGUCCUCGUAGAUUACACUUGCCAAAAUAUUGGACGACCCAAGUGACGAGGCACCCAUUUUCAAGUCCUCGUAGACUGCACUUGCCAAGAAAUUGGACGACCCAAGUGACGAGGCACCCGAGUGUUACACUUUAUCAUCAAAAGUGAAUGAGGCACCUGACUAUAAGCCCUCAGACCCGAAAAAGUUACACUUUAUCUCUAAAAGUGGUGAACGUUAUGCUUUCACCGACAAAAGCAAGAUUUAUUAUAUAUGAAAUGUUAUGCUUUUCGUUAAAAGCAAUUUUAUUAUCAAUAAAUUGACAAACUUUCACUUAUACUUGAACGCUUUUUUUUAAAAUUUUUUAAAAAAAAAAGAAAGGAAAAAGAAAAGAAAAGUAUAGAUUCAAGUGUUAGUUUGUAUGAAAUAAAUGUACAUGAUUUUCUGAUACAAGAAAUGAAAAGAACUACGACAGUUCAUGAUCCAAAGGUCAUGACCUGUCGAAUUGAAGAUAGAGGAAUACCUAAAGCUUGGUCUUCGAGGCCAUCAGCAGGUCUUCGAUGCUAUCAGUAGAUCUUCAAGGCUAUUAUCAGGCCUUCGAUGCUAUUAGGCCUUCGAAGCUAUCAGCAGGUCUUCAACACUAUCAGCAGGACUUCGAGGCUAUCAGGCCUUCGAAGCUAUCAGGCCUUCACGAAAUGUUUGGUUCUCAAUGACUUCUUGAUUCCAAAAGAAAGAGGAAUUUCAAGAGAUGGUAAGAAAGAUUAGAUCGAAGAUUUUCAAAAUAUCCCAGGAGAGCUCCUCUAAGGCUCGCCCUUCUAGGGUUUGCUCCCUAGAGGUUCCCUCUCCUAGGACUUUCGUUUUUGAGGAUUGCAAAACAUCAAGCCCCGCGAAGUGUUCAGACACUGGAAUCAAGACUUCAACACUUAUAAUAUUUUGCGCGAUCAUCUCACCAAAGGCGUGACUCACGCGCAGGGGGCAAAUACUUACCGAAAGAGGGCAUAGACAUCCUCCAGAGUAAAGGUGCAUUCACCCCAAGCAGUGAUGAAUAUGUAGGUCCUAUUGGAUAUGAAUGUUCCUACAUAGCUGGAUGCAAAGUUAUCCACAUAAUCAGCAUUCCUAAGUAGCUAGUCAAUCCAAUGUUGCUAUUCUUGAAGGUGGUUAGAUGAAUCAGACAAGAAGUCAUCCCAACUUCCAUAAGCCGUUGGAUAUAGAAACAAGCCUUCCUUCUAUGGUGGAGGAAAAGUUGUACGGGCAUAAGUUUGGACUUGCUUCCAAAAGACGACGAAAAGACCAAAGGAGGGGAACCCUUUCCCAAUCAUUGAGAAACGGGGCCUCCUUGGUUGUUCCCAAGUCUGCAGAAUGUUCAACAGGGAGGGCCUGCAAGAAAAAAAAAGAGAGUUCAGCAUAAGGGAUCUAAAGAAGCAAGGAAGGGACGUCAAAUAAAGUACUUGAGCUCGAAAUGCUCACCAUGCCAAAGAGGAAUAUCCGAGAGUAAAGCUUCAAAACACCUGAAAAGAAGAUGAAACAAUGUCAGAAAGAGUUAGGGUUCACCCCCUAGGGUUCGGCUCCCUAGGGUUCGGCUCCCUGGAGCGGUUUCACUGCAUCUAGAGCAUUUUUUCUUCCUUCGUGUUCUUCGUGGACGAAACGUCAAGUCUUUCUUUAUUAUCCGAGGGAAAAAACCAAGAUGUAAUCAAGGUAAUGGGGCUCGGAAGACAAAAGAAAGAUUGGGGAGUCCAAAAAAAAAAUUUGUAGGGUUCCGCCCCCCUAGGGUUCGACCAUGUUGGCUUUGUAGGUCUCCUCGCUAGCUUCGUUUUGAUAUAUUAUGGGCUCCGAAACUCCAAACGAGUCAAAAGUUAUGAUCAAAAUAGUAGUUGCUCCUCCAAAAACUUCAUCUUUUUCAUUAAAACUUCAUUUUUCCCAUAGGGUUCGGCCAUGUUGCCUUAGGCUACCUAGGGUUCGGUCAUGUUGGCUUUGUAGGGCUGGUCGAUAUCUUCAUUUUGAUAUAUUAUGGGCCCCGAAACUUCAAACGAGUCAAAAGUUAUGAUCAAAAUAGUAACUGCUCUUCCAAAAACUUUAUUUUCCCCAUAGGGUUCGGCCAUGUUGCCUUAGGCUACCUAGGGUUCGGCCAUAUUGGCUUUAUAGGGCUCGUCGAUAUCUUCGUUUUGAUAUAUUAUGGGCCCCGAAACUCCAAACGAGUCAAAAUUUAUGAUUAAAAUAGUAAUUGCUCCUCCAAAACUUCAUUGUUCCCCUAGGCCAUGUUGCCUUAGGCCACCUAGGGCGCGACCAUGUUGCCUUAGGCCACCUAGGGGGCGGCCAUGUUGCCUUAGGCCACCUAUGGGUCGUUCUUUUCACCCCUUAAAAAAAAAAAAUCUAUGUAGGCUUCGGCCAUGUAGUCUUCGACUAUGUAAGCCUCGACUACCUAGGGGCUGUUACCCUUCAUACCUUUGAGGUCCUGUUGCUCUAUCAAUCAACUGCUUGAAAUGAAUGCUCCUUUGCCGCGAAGAUUUUCCAAAAGAUAAGUAUCUUUGAAUUCAUUUCUAAAUAAAAAUAUAUAAAGAUAUUAUUUGCUAAAUAUAAAGAAGAUUUAGUUUUAUUCCCAAUAAGGGGUAAUUUUUGAAAAUAGAUUAUUUAUAUGCAUAUAUAUAUAUAUAUAUAUAUAUAUAUAUAUAUAUAUAUAUGUAUAAAUAAGUAAAAUCUUUUGCUUUCAAAUAAAGAAAGAUUUGGUUUAUUUCCAAAAUAUAGAAAGAUUUGAUUUAUUUCCAAAACAAAGAAAGCUUUGAUUUUAUUUCCAAAAUAAGAUUAAGAUUUGAUUUAUUUCCAAAACAAAGAAAGCUUUGAUUGUAUUUUCCAACAUAAGAUUAAGAUUUGAUUUUAUUUUCGAAAAAAAUAAUAUUAAUUAAGGUCUGAUUUACCAAAAGAAGGAUUUUAUUAGAUUAAAAUUUAUUUAUAUUUGAUUAUAUUUCCUUGUUUCCAUUGCCAGAAAAAAAUAAGGAAACAAAUAUUGGACAAGAUAUGGAAAGAUUUUUGGAGAAGUUCCCAAUUUGUCUAAGAAAGAGCCCUGCAAAAUCAUUCAAAGGCUUAUAAUUUUCUUGCACGAUCGUCUAUUUGGGAAUGCGACUCUCGCGCAGGGGGCAAAUGUGGGCCCAAGUGCAAAAUUAGGGUUCACAUGACCUAAUUGAAUUAAAUGCACAAUUAGGGUUCCACGACCUCAUUAAAUGUGCAAAUUAGGGUUCGCAUAACCUAAUGGAAUGAAGAUGGAAAAGUCAGAAAUAAAUGUGCUAGACCCGGGAUAAGCCUCCACGUGUCCCGAGGCAGAAGACUCGUGGAGGCGGCUCGUUUUGGGAAUUGAUUGAGGGAUUGGAUUGGUGGCUAGAAGGACAGGGCAAUAUGAGCAUUAUUCUAAGGACUAAAGGGUAUUUCUGGAAUUUCCCUGAAAUCAUGUGCCUUGCACAUGACUACUUUCCAGAGAACCCUAUAAAUACCCCUUCUAUUCCAUUGGAAAAGGGAUACACAAGACUUGGACCCUUUUGGUGACUUAAAGGCUUGGAUUUUUCCACCUAAAAGCACUAAAGAGUUGAGACUUCUCUUCAGACUCAAGACUUGGACUCUUGGAAGAUCAAAGAGACCCUUUUGGUGACUUAAAGGCUUGGAGAUUCCACCUAAAAGCACCAAAGGGGUUUGGACAUUCUCUCAACUUGAAGGACUCAAGAAGGCUCUUGGAAUCCCUGUUACCCUAACACGGUUCCCGGAUUCUAGGAGUUCUGCCACGCGUCGUUGGAGUAAUCGCCCACCUGUCAUUCUCCCCUAUUCAAUCAAUCAAUCAAUUCCGUACUUUUCGUGGAUUUCUCUCCUCCUCAGCCAACACGAAACCCUAACCCUAGCAAGGUACGAUUUCCUUGCCCACAAGUCGAAAGCCUCCUAUCACUCUCCUUCGGUAUCAAAAUCCCACCAUGUCCUCUGGCAGAUCCCUCAUCAUCACCCUUCAGAUGAUCAAAUCUCAUUCGAUCUCUUCAAAAGUCUUAAUUUUUUGAUUGAACCUACAGAUCUUCAAGCGAAAUAUAUAUGCUGAUCUAUCGGGUCCUUUCCUUUUCUUGUUGGCAUUUGGAUUGUUUCAUUUAUUUAUUGAGGUUAUUUUUGUCCCAAAAAAAUAUAAUCUCGUUCAGACGUGGCUCUGAAUGAUUUAGCAUUAUUUUUGAAUCUUACCGAUUAAGAGGCAUUAAGAGCCAUAAAUUUUUUUAUCAAACAAGUUGUGCCUCUGACCGAAUCAGAGGCACACAUAUUAAGAGGCUUUAAGACUCAAACAAACACCACCUUAGUGGUGAGAAAUGUUAAAGAUGUGUAAAAGGGACAUCGUUGUCCAUCACAGUGAAAAACUUUAUUUAAACAUGGAGUUUUUUUAUUGUAUUUAAUUGAGUUUUAAUAUUAAUAAAAUUAAAGAGUCUUCAAUAUCGAUUGAUAUUGGACGUGGAUUAAGUUACUAGACUAGAUAAUAAGUGUUAAAUCACGUAAAAAUCCUUAUGUCUGUGAUUUGUUAUUUCUUAUGAUUUGGACAUUUAAUUCAAACUUGCAUCUAGACAUUCACAUAAAAGUAUAUUGCUGAUAUAUAAAGUUUACUAAUUCAUACAUGCACUAUCUUCUGUCUACAUUAUAACAAAAAUAAAAAUUAGUCUAAAGCAGACACUUUCAUUUUUCUGUUUUAAGUUCAGUAGUAAAAAAAUUAAAAUUAAUAAUUGUUAAUCACUUUAUAGCUUAAACACAUAUUCACCACACCUUUAGGUGUACACUUACACGAAAUUACACAUAUGUCAUGUUUGUUUGUAAUGAUUAUAAUUCUAAAACUAUUAACCCUAAGAUUAAAUAGUCUUAAUCACGUGUUUAUUUUUUAUGAGAUUAUUCAUGUGAUAACUUAAAAUAAUCUCAUGUUAUGUUUGUUUUUUUAGGAUUAAUUAAAUAAUUGGAUAAAAAAUUAUCGUUUGAACUAUUAUACCCUUACCAAUAAGAACAUAUUUUAAACUAUAAUUUAAACUUGUUUAGACAUCAAAAAAUAAUAAACAAUUAAUUAUAAACUUUUAAAUAUUGGUUAAAUCAGUUAGUUAUGCUCUUAAAUAAAGUUAUACUACAAAUUAACUAACAGUAAAUUAACUAAGAUAAAAAAUAAUAUUAAAUUAACUAACAGUAAAUUUACUAAUAUAAAUUAAAAUUAACUAAGAUUAAAUUAAAUAACAAUUUAAAGUUUAGAGUUGAAUUAACUAACAGUAAAUUAACUAAGAUUAAAUUAAAUAAUAAUUUAAAGUUUAGAGUUGAAUCAUACGUGAUAUUUUCUCUAUUUUUUUAUAUCGUGUGUGCACGACUUUUUGUGUAUAGUUGGUAUUUUUAUUUUUUUUGCCAAUGUAUAGAAUUUUAAAUUUAAUAUUAAUUUGAUUUUUUUAAAAAUAUUAGUACAAUCAAUUAUAUAUAUUGAAAUAAACUAACAAAUUUUUUAUACUAAUUAUCAUUUAUUUCGUUAAAUUAAAUUAUAAUUUUCCUUUUUGUGUAUGUUUACGAUUUUUUUUUUUAAAAUUUAGAUUAUCAUUUUAGGCGAUUUUAUUAUGCUCGUAAAUAAAGGGUAAUAUAAUUAUUUAGCAAAAAAAAAAGGGUAAUAUAGAUUGCAAACAGAUCCCCGAGCAGUGUACAACAUGUUUUUGGACGGUGAGCAAGAGACACCGUUCACGUACUACAAGAGUUGAAUCACCUGAUAUUAUAGUCAUUUUAAAAAAAAAUUGAGGUUAAUUUUGUCUAAAAAUUUUUAGUUCUAAAUAAUGGAAUUAUAAUAUCUAGUUGAACAUGAUAUUAAAUAAUCUCUCAUAUUAAACUAUUUUAUAAUUUUUAAACUAAUAGUAUCGAGUUCAAAUUUAAAAACAAACAAAACAUUUAAAAUUAAUAAUCUUAUCUCAAGUAUAAUACUUAUAAACAAACAUACCUAUUGUACUACACCAUUUGAUCAUCACCCUUCCGUAAACUGAAAAAAACAUUUGAACAUCAUGAACGUUACUUCCAUUAAAUGAUUUCAAAUAAAUUCUUUUAUUUGUGAUUUUUUAUAUUAAUAAUAAUAUAAAAUAACACAAUAUUUUGAAAUUUAUUUAUGACCAUUAGGACAUGCGAAAAUAUAUAAGAUACCAAACUAGUCUAGUUAAUUUAUUAUGUGAGCAUGCAUCAGGGCAUGUUAUAAAGUCUCUAUGUUCCCUACACAGCUACACUCUAUUGCUCCUCAUCGAACAACUAAAAUUCAAACUAAAGAUUAUGCUGCUGCAGGUAAAAUCAGUCUAAUUAACACAGCAUUUCCAGUGUGAAAAUGGCAAUGUUACCCCAACCCUAGGAUACAAAAGCAGUCAAUUUCCACAUAAAAUUCAAUGUCAUCACACAAACUGGGAUCAUUCAAAAUCCCAUCAGCAUUUGGUCCCACCUAAAAACCAUCAAUUCACCCAAUCCUUGCAGUGGACCCACCCUGUCCCAUAUGUCCCAAAGCCAGCAUGCCAACGGGUGGUCCCACUAGCUAAAUGACAAAUCUACCCGCAUGAUAACUUAAUUAGGAACUUCUCCGUUUCAAAUGAAAUAGUUCAUAAUUUAAAUUUAAAAUAUGUUAAAAUAUAACAUUAUGAUAAUAAGAGAAAAAUGAUUAUAAAAAAUAUACAAACAAGGGAGAGUACUCAUUUCAUUUUAAAUAAAAAAGAUUCAUGGAAGUAGUAUCAAAAGAUUUUGGUGAUAAUACAUUCAUACUGGUACGUGUUUGUGGGAGAGAUUAAUUAAGUGAUAUAUAUAUAUAUAUAUAUAUAUAUAUAUGACCCAUAAAACUACAAUUUCAAGAAUGUGAGGAAAAGUUCCCACACCCCAAACACAGAAAAAGUAAAACAGUUGGUUCACCACAUCAGAAUCCAGAAGGAAAGAAAAAUAGAGAGAAAAAGCUGAAUUUGAAUUAUGUCUCUUCAACAUGUACUCUUUGUUCUUUCAUACUUAGCCUUAUAUGAAACCAAACCAACAUGAUAUCAUAACCACUGCAAUUAUUUAGUCCCCCACACAACCCAUCUUCUUACUAAAUCCCUAAAAUUUAAAGUUAAAAUUAAACCAUUUCCCGAAUCCCAAGAAAAACAAUGAAUCAAACUUUUUUUUUUCUUCUUUUCCUUCUCUCUCUCUUAUCUGUCUCAUUUCCUUGCCGUUGACUGAGUGACUUGGAAUUCUUCUUCCAAUUUUCCUCACUUUAUUUAAAAAAAAAUUAACAACUCUGCUUCUACUAUUUAAAUACAGCCAUUUCCCUAUCAUUGAGAAAAUGGAAAUGGGUGACCUUCACUCCAUUGCUUACAGUGGCCGCUGCACCACCUCUAAUUCCUUUGCUUGGGAAUUUCACAACCUUGGAGUUUUCAACGCAGACAUGUCUCACUGUAACAGUUCUAUUCUUUCUCCUUUCUUCUUUUGUCUCUCUUUACUUUCUUGGAGUACUGUAUAUGUGUGUGUGUUCAGUGUUCUUUCUUUUAGCUUAAUUAUUAUAUAUAAUAACUGUAACCAUUUGUGUAUAAUUUAUAAUUAACUAGUAGCGAUGAGUAGCAGUACUCCACCAUAUGAUCUCUCAUCUCUUGAUUCGGAUUAUUCCACCGGCUAUCUGCAAGACGCUUUGUUUGAAUUUAGCUCUAAACGAAGGCGGUUACUUUUGUUCUCCGAUGAUCAAACUAACUACUCUACCUGCCCAAUUGAGGUACUUUUAGCUGCUUUCUAUAUAAUAUGUUACAGUAUAUAGUUGCAUGUGUGUUAAUUAAUCUGUAUAUAAAUAUUCAAACUCAUACAUAGCUAGGUUGAUAUAUAUAGAAUUUGAAUCUAACUCUAUGCAGAGUUGCUGGAAGGAGAAUUUCACCGAUACUUAUCCUGAGAAUUUUGGUUAUCUAAACCAGAUAAAUGAGAUGGAUUGCAUUGCUGCAGGUGAUUAGUUAAUUACAAGCCUUGAUUAUAUACAUUAUAUAUGUGUAUAUAUAUAUAUAUGUAUUAUGUAGUUUUUUUUUUACCUUAUGGUUUUUCUUAAUUUCUUUAUUAGUUAUUGUGUUUAUAUAUAUGACAUGCAUGCGUCAUAUGCAUGUCAUAUUUACAUGUACAAUUUGAAUUUUGUUUUACAUAAAACACAAAUGUUUUUUUAUUAAGAAAAUGAAACAUUAUUAUAAUUGCCCCUUACAUGCAGGGAAAACGAUGAAUAAUAAUAAUAAUAAUAAUAAUAAUAAUAAUAAUAAUAAUAAUAAUAAUAAUAGAUCAGCGAGCGAAACCAGCAGUGAGGGGGAGAUUAUUGUCACAGAAGAAGACACGAAAACAUCAGAAGAGGGAAAUGGAACAGCUUUUGAAGGCCCUUUAGAUUCUUCCUCUUCUUCACAGAGCAAAGAUUCACCUCCCAUAAACAACAUCCCCUCCAUUUCGGAAUUAACCCUAGAUGCCAUAUCUCCGUCGCCUGCUGGUACAUGUUUUAUUCUCCCACUCUCUAAUUAUUUAAUUUUCACCAAAUUAAGUUCAAAUUAUUUUGAGUAUUUGACUAUAAAAUCAGUAAAUUGAUAUUUUUACGUUUAAAUACUAUAUUUUCACAUGAUUUCUUUGACAUAAAUUUCUUAAAAUUAACAAAUACAAAAUUCUAUAUUAAUUUUUUUUAGUAAUUUUCUCUUAGAAUGAGAUGAUCAUAUACAAAGUGUAAGGAACCUUCCAAAAGAAAAAAAGAAAAGAAAAAGAGAUAUAUCUAGCAACUGUAAAGACGAAAGCAUACCUAUCAUGAUCUCUCUCUCUCUUUUUCCUUGAAUUCCUUGACAAUAUUAGGAUCAUAGGUACAUCAUUCUACAUGUAAUAAUAUAACAACUUUUGUAUUUGUGAAGAUUUUUUUAUAUGAAAAUAUCUAUGAUCAUUAGUCAAAUAACUUUAAUUAUUUGGUGGGGUUGUAUUAGGUGCUGGUGAGAAGAAAAAGAAGAAGGUAAUCACGAGGGUGGUUUAUCCAUUUGCGGUGGUCAAACCGGGAGGAAUAGAAGGCGACGUGACGUUAAAUGACAUAAAUGAGAGAAUCCUAAUGCCACCAACGAGACCGGUAAGGCAUCCGGUGGGGGACUUUGCGUGCCGACCGCUUGUAUCUCCCCAUGGACCGGGCUUGUCCGGUAAGGCUGUGGUGGCUCUUACCAGAAUUCAAACACAUGGGAGAGGCACAAUUACGAUAAUUAGGACUAAAGGUUGAGAAUUAUUUUAUGUCAAUAUAUGUACGUAGUACUAGUAAAUUAAAAGAAAAGAUCGAGUGCUUGUUUAGCUAAAUUAAAUUUAAGUUUAAUUUGUUUGCUUAAAUGUAUAUAUAGACAGAUGUAUAUGUAUUGAUAUGUGCGAGCCAAAAUUGUAAGUUGCUUAUAUAUUUUUACAUAUCAUGGGCCUCAUCAUAGCUCAUAAUAUUGGCAUUGCUAUUCAUGAUUAGAAUAUUGGAGCCUAGCUAGCUAGCUAUGGUCUCAGUUCGAUCAAUUACCGUUUGUCUGGAAAUGGAUAUUUGAUAAUAUCAUAAUAAUACAAUGAUUUGCAAAUACGUACGUACUAAAUAUAUAUAAUUGAAGUUGGGAAAUUUGUCAAUGACAUAUAUAUAUUGUACACACAUAUCAUGAUUAUGAUUGCGAUUUCUCACUAAAUUAACCUAACUACACGAAUUUAUACAUGUGAUUAGGUAUGGCAUUCUAAUGAUUGACUUUUGCAAAAUUAUCUUUUAAUACUUACCCAUCAUUGAUGAUUUAAUUAAAAUAAAUUUGGAAAACCUAAAAAUUCUCAUCAUAGUGCGGGUGGAUCAUCCUGCACCUUGGUGGCCUCCCAAAAAACGUCCAGCUGACCACCACAACUGACCACCUUUAGGCUAUCGAUCCGGCUUGUUCAAAAAUUUACACAAAAUUGAUAAAAUCUCAUAAAAUUAUAGGAAGUACGCACAAAACUUGUUAUAAUCAAGCCUGGUGCUGAUAAUUAAGAAGUAUAUAUGGAAGGAGUAGACAUAUUAAAGUCAAAUUGGGUGCAGCUGCAGGUGGACCUAGCUGUCUACAACAUUUGCAAGAUACUUAUAAUUGGGAUUAAGCAUGCAUUUUCCAUAGAUGCAGCUUUUUCAUGCAUUGAGAUUUAAGAAUACUUUCCAGACAUUGAAAAUAGGUGUUCCUUCCUUGUGUUAUGCUAUAUCUGUAACUUUUCUAUUCAUAAUCUGACUGGAAACAAGGGAAAAAGCCUUCCAAGUACAAUAACACAGACCACGUCCGCCUUUUUGGAAUAUAUGUAACAAAAUUAAAGUAAGUCUCUGCACCAGGACAUACAUAUAUAUAUUAUAUAUAGCCACUAACUUCAAACAGUACUGUGAUCAUGCAUGUUAAUCGAUCUGAUUUCUCUUCAAUGAAAAUGUACGUACUAUUCUAAUUCUGCUUUUAUUACUUGAGAAUUGAGUAGUGCAUGCUCUCUCUCUCUAGAUCUUUCUCUCUCUCUCUCUCUCUCUAUAUAUAUAUACAUAUAUAUAUAUAUAUAUAUAUAUGUGGUAAUUAGAUACAGUGACGCAUUAUAUAUAAAUUAAUGUAAAUAUAUGAAUAAUUUAUAAAUAUGUUUAUUUGCAAUAACAAUAACAAAUUUUUGUAUGGCGAGAUAUAUUAUUUUUCUCACUACUUUAAAUGUUUUAAAAUAAAGUCCAUAAAUUUUGUUUCAAAAGACAAAGUGGCCAUGCCCUUUUUACAAGAAAAACGUGAAAAAUGAUGAAUGUUUAUUCUAAACUAAUCCUCUUCCAUUGUGAGUAUAUGUUAUGGGGGUGACGGUAGUUGGUGGUUGCCUGGUUGGUGACUGGGUGGAUGAUCAUGAUAUCUUCUCACAUGCCUGCAUUCAUAUUUCUAGCGUAGUCCGUCCGUGGCUAGAGGGUCCAAAAUUUAUUAUUAUUUGUACCAACUGUAAUGAUUAAUUUAUUUGAAGAUUGAGUCACAUAUUUAUAUAAUUGUACGUUCCAUCUCAUAUAUACAUAACAUCAGCGUCGGUCCUGGACCAAAAAUUUAAUGUGCCCCUUUAUACAAAUUAAAUAAAAAAUAAAAAUAAAUUAUCAAUUAAUUAAUUUUAUUAAAAUUAUAAGAAUUUAUAAAAGAUCAGUAAGAACACUUUGGGGCCUUGUUAAAAAAUUUGUUUGGGAAAAAUCUAAUGGGACAAAACCCCAAACGAAGAAAAAAGAGUACCCCGAAUUGUAAACAUUGUAUUAAAAACGAAGAACAAGAAUCUCAGCCAAGUUUUCUGUUGAAUGAAAUAAUAAAUAAGAAAAAAUUAACAAAAAUAUAUAUUACAAUUUACAAAAUUUAUAUAUUUAGAUUCUAUAUGUAUCUUUAAAAAAAAUUACCUUCAAAGAAAGACACUGGUCUAACUAGCGGAUGAUUUAUUUUUCAAUUUUGUUGGAGAAGAGAGAAUCAUCGGAAACAAAAUUACUUGCGUUGCGUUAUGAACUGAGAGGGUCGAAGGGUUUUUUCUUCUUUUUGUGGCUAAGAGUCUAUUUUGAUUCUCCAUAUUUAUUGAUUUAUUUUAUAUUAUAUUUUAUAAUUAUUUUUUUAUUUUUUUAUACACAUAUAUAUAUAAUUUUUUUAAAAAUUGGGCCCUUCUCAGCUUUGGACCCUAGGCGAACGCCCUGGUAGACCUGGCCCAAGGCCAGCUCUGCAUAACAUUAAAGAAACAUAUAUAUAUAUAUAUAUAUGAUUGCCUUACCUUUUCAAACAUCUACAAUUAAAAUGCUGGUCACUGACGAUAUAUCAUACUAUAUAAUGGUUCCAUUUUUAAAAAAAAAAUAUCUUAAAAUCUCUUUCUUUUUUUAUUUUAAUUUUUUCAUUUGAAGUGACUAUAUAAUAGAAAAUGGGACAGGCAGGAGUAGGAUUUACGAUCUUCACCACUCUCACAAUUAUCAAAACUAAACAAAUAAAUCAACCUAGCUCGAUCAGCUUUAUAUACUGGAGAGAACAUGAUAUUAGGAAAAGGUCUAAAUCCACUAAUCAUAAAGCUACUAAUCAAAAUCAUGCAUAUGGACCAAUCAUUAAUCUAAAGUUUUGAAUAAUUAAUAUAUGGAAGAAAACACAAGAGAAUAUUGUAGCUAGCAAGCUAGCUCCAUCGAAUCUUUAUUUAUUAUUAUUAUUGGUUGUCACUGCUGAAAUUCUACAAGAGCUAGUAUGUCUUCUUCUUCACAGGUCAAUAUGAGUUGAUACACCACCAAAUCCAAGCAUCACCUGUCUCGAGACAGAAUCUAGCAAGUGGGACCCAUUCAAAAGCCCUCUUGUGUUGUUUUCCUGUCGUCGUCCAUCUUUUAUCAUCAUCAGCCCUUGAAACCUCUUUCAACUCCUUACUGAUCAAUGUUCUCAUAACAAUCAACGGUUGGUGUUUAAGGUAGACCAACACCUUGAGACCUAAACUAUGUGGCGCAGCUGUAUGCCAAAACCCAUUCAANNNNNNNNNNNNNNNNNNNNNNNNNNNNNNNNNNNNNNNNNNNNNNNNNNNNNNNNNNNNNNNNNNNNNNNNNNNNNNNNNNNNNNNNNNNNNNNNNNNNUUUGCUUUCUGGAAACAAAAAAAACUUAAUUCAUUUCAAAUUUGAAAGAAAAAAAAACAGAGUUUUAAAAUAAAGAUAUAUAGGUGUUAAUUGGUGAAUAUAUAUAUAUAUAUAAGCAAAUUAAUUGAUUGAGGCAGCAGGCAGGUAUAAUUAAUGACAAAGGCUGAUGAUGUUAAUAGUAGUGGUAUCAGGUAUGCGUCACAUGCAUGCAUGUAACAAAUUGAAGAAUGAAAAAUUAAAUUUAAUUAAGAAGAAGUUGGUAUGCCACGGGAAUUGCUUGAUUAAAGAGAAAAUAAGAAAGUAAGGAAAAACUGAAAACAUGUGGCCGCAUUUGUUUUCUUCUUGUAGUAAAUGCAUAUAUAUAAAUUUCAAUUUAGACAGUACGUACGAAACACAUGGCAUUGGCUUAUGUCUUCAUCUGUCUUAAUGAUCAGCAUUAAUUCUUAAUUACUAUGAAAACUAAUAUUAAUAUUGCACUUUUGUUGUGAGUAUUAAUACAAUUAUAGAAUAUUACUAUUAUAAGUUUGUACUUAAUUAAUUACAAAAAUCACAAAAAUUUUCAUUUUUCAUUUUUGAAAUUAACUUGUAAAAUUUUAAAACUUUACCAACUAAAUUGAAUACAAACUCAAUGUAAUGUUGAGUAUUUUUCCAUUUUGUACUUGUUUAAUUAAUAAAUUAAUCAUACAAUGGAAAGAAUAUACUAGUAUAUUGUAUUAGCUCGAUCGAUCCCGUGAAGACAUGUGCUUACACGUUGCAAAUCAGUAGAAUGACAUGCAGGUAUAUAUCAGUCAAACAUAUAAUAAAAUAAAAAAAUAAUGAGAGAAUAUUUUGCUUUUCCAAAUGGUGUUGUGUUUGGGAUUUUACAACUUUUACAUAGGAAGAUCAUUAGAGUGUAUUAUUUGCCUUUUCAAGUUUAUUACUAGUAUAGCCAUGAGCUAUGAGCCUACUAAAUACUCCCUCCGUCCCACCCACGAUAAAAGUUGUUAUUACUAUUUUGGGUUGUUCCAUGUUAAAUAUCAUCUUUUUUUUAAUAACCAAAUUUUUACACAUUUUUUUUAUAUUAUACCCGUAUCAUUAAACAUCUCAUACUUUUUUUAUUCUAAUUCUCUCUCCAUAUUUAAUGACAUUAUUAUGGGCAAUUUUAUCAUUUUAUUCCUCUUCUUAAUAUGCGUAAAAAGUCCACCAGGACUUUUAUCCUGGAAGUAUACAAUUUUAUCAUGUAAAGCUUCAAUUUCAUUUAUUUAUCAUCGUGGGGUAUUAAGCUUUAAGGAGCUUGACACUUUGUCUAUGGACCAGCACUAUUAAAUAAACUUAACCCCAAGGAAAAGUUGGAAAGAAAUUGACAAGUAUGCUGCUAUUUAUACUCAAUUCGGACUCAAAUUUGGCCUCUUCAAUCCUUUACCAACUAAUGUAUAUAAACAAAUAGCACAAGUCGGAAUAUCUGUAUGUUUAAUCUAUGCAAAGUCAGUUCGUGCUAUCACGGUGAAAAAUUGGAAACUGGCAGUUAUGGGCCUUGUUGAUAUAUGAAAAAUGUUUCUAUUUUUUUAUUUUGUCAGUGGGAAGGAAAACUUUUACUUUUUUUUUCUUUCUUUCUGUUUUUUUAUAAAAAAAUUGCUUAAGAAAACAACUUGAGUUGAACUUUUAUAUGGACAGCAUAAUAUAACACACAAUCUCUAAAGCCCAAAAUGAAGCCCGAGGUAAUACAGCUAAAACAAUAUCGACCCAAGAAACAGGCCCAAACCUCAAAAGACCCUUUAUAGACAUGGCCCCUAAAAAGGGUAUCCAGGCAAAGAUCGAACCAAAGAAAAUGGAAAGCAUUCGGUGUACUAAAUUUUUAAGAUUAGAUUUUGGAAAAUGAAAAAGUUAUACUCUCUCUAUUACACAGAAAUAGCAAAUUCAUCAAACAUACAUAUUCUUUUAUAAUAACAAGUGUAUUUUUUGCUUGUACCGUAAAUAUAAUAUAAUAUAUAUAUAUAUAUAUAUAUAUUACUGUCUCUAUUUUAAAAUUAAAUAUACAAUUUGAUUUUUGAGGUCAAACAAUGACGUAUUAAACUUCAAAUUUUGUAUAACUCAUAAAAGUUUAGAAUGAAAUAAAUUUUUUUAUUUAUAGUUUUUGUUAUAAUAAUUGUAUAAACAAAAAAUAAAUAUAUUUACAUCAAUUUGAAGUUUAAUAUGUCGUCAUUUGACCUUAAAAAUUUAAUAUAUUUAUUUACACAUGAAAAGUGUCCCCAUAAACGGAAUUAGAUGCAUCAAGAAUCAUUCAGUGUCAUCUACUAAUUUUUUUUUAUUAAACAACUCCUUAGAACAAUCUUUUCAACAACUUUGGAAAUAUAAAGGAUAGCUGGUUGUAGGAAUGUAUUGAGAGGUACAUAACAUAAGUGACCAAGUCCAUACUUCUUCCACCAAAUCAACUCCCCUAUUGAGUUUUUGUGCAGUCUAAACAAAUAUGUCUACAUUUUAAGGAACCGCGCGCGCGGUCUUUACAUUGAGUACAACCUUGUAUCUAGUAUCUCCUCAUCCCUAAUUAAGGUAACUCCUUUUAAGGAUAUAAUAAUUUAUUUCAUGUUAAUAUCUAAAUAAAAAUCUAGUAGUGAUGACUUUAUAGUAAAUUUGAACGGUUAAAUAUGAAGACAUUAAGUCAUUUUCUACCUACAUGUACCAAUAAAAAGUGAAUUUCUUUUGCAGAACAUUUUUUUUUUUUUUNNNNNNNNNNNNNNNNNNNNNNNNNNNNNNNNNNNNNNNNNNNNNNNNNNNNNNNNNNNNNNNNNNNNNNNNNNNNNNNNNNNNNNNNNNNNNNNNNNNNAUCUUCUUUUUAUUAUAUAUUCAUUUCUUUCUCUCUCCAUUGUCCGGUUGUAAAAACAACUUUACAAAAUAUUUAGGUUUGCAUAGAUUGCAAUACACAGUAUAAACUACGUUCUAUCAUCUUCUUAUGAUUCAUAAAAAUAUAUAAUAAUAAAAAUAAGGAAUUAAUAUUUCUUGUUUUUAUUCUGAAAAUGGAACUUUGCUGAAUAGACGUGAUUUUAUGUUGUUUCUUAACCAGUUCAAAUUUGCUACUUGUUUAAACUGAAUAACUUAAGGAAUGACAUGAUAUGUUACCAAUUUUUUGGGUCAAAAAGUCAUUAAUUGAGAUACACAUCAUCACUGACUACUCAUUAUAUGAUUAACAAAAAAACACAUUAACUUUUCUUCUUCUUUUUUUGACAGGCUAAAACAAUUAUUUAGAGCGAGCAAUUUUAUUAUUACUUUUAAGAAAUUGAUAUUUUUACAUAAUUUUUUAAUAUUUUUAUUUAAAAAUCGUCGCUAUAUAUUUAUAAUGACACCUUUUAUAUAAAAAUAUCAAAAAAUCAUAUAAAAAUAUCAAUUUUCUAAAAAUAAUAAUAAUAAUAAAAAGGAUGAGUAGGAAAGAUGAAACAGAGUCCUUCAUCUUCAUGUUGCAUUUUUCUAUCAAACAAAACGUAGGAUGAACAAAUAAGCAUUUACGGUUAAGUUUCAAAGUGUUUCAUAGUUUCCAACUUGAAUAGAAAUUCUAAAGAAGAAAAGAAUAACUAAAUCAAACUUAUCAUACAACAAAUAGGAAACACCCGAUUACCCAAUCACCUCUAUGUAUAGCCCCCAUCCCCAUAUCCUAAGUAUAAUCAAACAAGAACCAGACCCUUAAAACGCCGCAGUGAUAUAAUCAAGAAGCAGGGCUAACGGCAGAUAACUUCUUACAAGGGUGCCGUCUCCGUGGUCUGAAACAGAGGCACUGAAAAGCCAAUUUGAGUACGUUUCUAAGAACUUGGCCCCUUUUUGGAAUCAAGCGAGGUGCUGUGGCCGCGGUGGUUACCCGGAGCCUUCGGGGGGGCGGCGACGGGGGAGGUAAGCUGGAUAUGGUGGUAGCAGCCAUUUGUGUGUGUUAAAUAUAUAGUGUAGUAGAAAAGAGAGGUAGUGAAGUGAGUGAAGGUUUGAACGGAAAUGAAAGCAAACGGCAGGUCGCGGAAGGAUCCGGCAGUGGUUAUGCAGUGGUUAUGCAGUGGUGAAGAGAGAGAAUUUAGUUAGUUAGUUAGAUAUAUGGACUAAUUUUGCAACCGCGUUCACGAGUAAAUAAGCGUGUUGUUGUAUAUUCCUAUUUCUAUUGAUCAAUUAUGGAUCCGGUUAUCAUGAAAUUAACAAAUACUUCUUCUCUUUCUAAAAGAUUAUCGUUUUAGGAGAAAAAAUAUGUUCUAAAAAGUUUGUCGUUUACAACUUUCAAGAAGAAUAAAUUAUUUAAUUCCCUAUAUUACCCCUACAUUCUCUCAUUGUCCCAAGAAAUUUUCUUCCUUGUAUUAAUAGUUUUCAAUUUCUCAUAAAAGGGUAGUGAUAUAAUUUCAAACAAAUUUUACUUGAUAAAUGAUACUUCUUUAAUUUAUGUGCCAAAAUCUUAAACCAUAAUCAUAUAGAGACCACUGUAUUGAUCAAUUGACCAAAAUUAUUUUCAUAUUAACCACCCCUUCAAUUAUAGGUGCUGUUUUAUUUUUUUCUUUCAUUUGGCUCUAUUUGUUUAAAAAAAGUAAAGUUCUAAGUUGAUUAAAGAAAGACACAAUAAAACUAGAUACAAAAUUAAGUGGUGUAUUAUAAUUAAUUGAUGUUCUAUCGUAUAUAGAUAAAUUCAAUGAUUAUAAUUUAUCAUUAUUAUAUAUAUUAUUUAGUAUUCUUUUUUUCGUAUCCAAUCUUUUAUUACGAAAAUAUUAUUAAUUAAUUUUUUAUUUACAAGAAUCAUUCUACUAUCGCUUGACUUUUGAACUAGUCCUAUCUUGUUAAUUAAUUGCUUAUGGUGUACUCAGUGGCGGAACCAGAAUCUUUUUAUAGGGGAGGCAAAAUUUUUAAACCAAGCGGUGACGGGCCGGCGGCGACGGACGGCCGGCGGCGGCGACGGGCGGCGGCCGACAGGCGGCGAAAAACUAUCGGAAUUUGGUCGCGGAGUUCUUCUAUAUAUUGCGAAAAAAAUAUUACAAUUUGUGUUGCGAUUGCGAAUAGUCGGAAUUUCAAUUCCCUGUCAUGUUCAUAUUCCCCACCAUUUCUUACUGAUUUUUCCCACUUUGGUUGCACCAAUCUUCUGAUCUGUUUUUUGUGUCACAUUUGAUAUAAGCCCAAGAACAUAGAGACAUAUAAUUUGUAAAAUUCCAGCUAUUUACAAAAGGAUCAGCAGUGAUUUCAAAUGAUUGUUUAACAGAAACUAGAAUUGAGGCCUGUUUUUUCAGAAACAAGUUAUGUAGAGAAUCCGAAUGAGACGAUGAAGAAAGGACAAGGAAAAUAGAAGAGAGGAAGAGAAGCCUAAAAUCAGAAGCANNNNNNNNNNNNNNNNNNNNNNNNNNNNNNNNNNNNNNNNNNNNNNNNNNNNNNNNNNNNNNNNNNNNNNNNNNNNNNNNNNNNNNNNNNNNNNNNNNNNNNNNNNNNNNNNNNNNNNNNNNNNNNNNNNNNNNNNNNNNNNNNNNNNNNNNNNNNNNNNNNNNNNNNNNNNNNNNNNNNNNNNNNNNNNNNNNNNNNNNNNNNNNNNNNNNNNNNNNNNNNNNNNNNNNNNNNNNNNNNNNNNNNNNNNNNNNNNNNNNNNNNNNNNNNNNNNNNNNNNNNNNNNNNNNNNNNNNNNNNNNNNNNNNNNNNNNNNNNNNNNNNNNNNNNNNNNNNNNNNNNNNNNNNNNNNNNNNNNNNNNNNNNNNNNNNNNNNNNNNNNNNNNNNNNNNNNNNNNNNNNNNNNNNNNNNNNNNNNNNNNNNNNNNNNNNNNNNNNNNNNNNNNNNNNNNNNNNNNNNNNNNNNNNNNNNNNNNNNNNNNNNNNNNNNNNNNNNNNNNNNNNNNNNNNNNNNNNNNNNNNNNNNNNNNNNNNNNNNNNNNNNNNNNNNNNNNNNNNNNNNNNNNNNNNNNNNNNNNNNNNNNNNNNNNNNNNNNNNNNNNNNNNNNAUAUAUAUAUAUAUAUAUAUAUAUAUAUAUAUAUAUAUAUAUAUACACACGUAGCGGAUUAGGUUCGGACUCCCGGAUCUGAUCAAAUUCGGACCUCAUAUUUUUAUUUUUAUUUUUUGCUUUUUUUUUAAAACAACUAAAAAAAAAAUUAAUAUUUGAUGGAACUGAAAUUUUUUCAUAAUACAAUAUUUUGGGCGUGUUUUGAAUACCUAUAUCAAAAAAUGGUGGUACAGUCUGCACAGAUUGUACAUACAUAUUUUGUUAUACGUACCCAAAACACUGUAUUAUGAAAAAAUUUCAAUUCCAUAAUUUUUUAUUUAUUUAUUUUUAGUUGUUUUUAAAAAAAAACAAAAAAAAAAGUCUGGAUUUUAGUCCGGUCCGGGAGUCCGGACCUGAUCCGGCCUAUAUAUAUAUAUAACUAACAAAGUGGAAUACACUUAUAGUCGUUCUUGAGCACGGGCGGGAGGGUCGACCGUCCUGGGUCCCUGAUCAGAAGGGCCCCAAAUUUGAACAUUUAAUUGAAGAUUUUGGCUGUAAAAAUACUAAAAGAAGUACCUUUCAAUAAAUGUAUUCUCAUAUAUUUUGUUGUAGUCGAACUUCUUAUAUAUUUUGGUGUAGUCAAAGUUCUCAUACAUUUUGUUGUAGUUGAAUUAUUAUGUUUUAAGAUCCGGAAAGAUAUUUUUUUAGAUACAACUUGUACUUUUUAUUUAUUUAUUUUUAUAUUUUUUUAAGUGAAGACAAUGUUUUGAAGAGGACCUCAUUUUCAUUUUUCGCCAUUAACCACCAAAAUCUACCUUUAAUACAGCAAGGCUGAGCUCAUUUAAGAUUAAACUCUUAAAGUGAUCAAGUCGACAUUAUGGAACUAAACCUGCUUAUAUAUACUAGUUUAUGUGGCAAACACUAUACGUGUACAAUUAAGAGGAAAAAAAGUAAAAUAUUUGAAUAAAACUUGAAAACUAUGGAUGAUAAGAGAAAUGAGAGAAAAUAGGGAUACUAAGUAGGAGAAAGAAAUGAAAUUAGUGAUAAAUUGUGGGUGGAAUGAGUUAACCAAUAGAUAAUUUAAUUUAGGUAAUAAUUUAUAUAUAUAUAUAUGGGAUUUUAUUCACAGCAACCGGUUGUUGGGGAGCAACCCCUUUUAGCCCAGCCGCUAUAACCUGUAGCGGCUUGUUACUUAGUUUUUUUNNNNNNNNNNNNNNNNNNNNNNNNNNNNNNNNNNNNNNNNNNNNNNNNNNNNNNNNNNNNNNNNNNNNNNNNNNNNNNNNNNNNNNNNNNNNNNNNNNNNGUCGCGGAAGGAUCCGGCAGUGGUUAUGCAGUGGUUAUGCAGUGGUGAAGAGAGAGAAUUUAGUUAGUUAGUUAGAUAUAUGGACUAAUUUUGCAACCGCGUUCACGAGUAAAUAAGCGUGUUGUUGUAUAUUCCUAUUUCUAUUGAUCAAUUAUGGAUCCGGUUAUCAUGAAAUUAACAAAUACUUCUUCUCUUUCUAAAAGAUUAUCGUUUUAGGAGAAAAAAUAUGUUCUAAAAAGUUUGUCGUUUACAACUUUCAAGAAGAAUAAAUUAUUUAAUUCCCUAUAUUACCCCUACAUUCUCUCAUUGUCCCAAGAAAUUUUCUUCCUUGUAUUAAUAGUUUUCAAUUUCUCAUAAAAGGGUAGUGAUAUAAUUUCAAACAAAUUUUACUUGAUAAAUGAUACUUCUUUAAUUUAUGUGCCAAAAUCUUAAACCAUAAUCAUAUAGAGACCACUGUAUUGAUCAAUUGACCAAAAUUAUUUUCAUAUUAACCACCCCUUCAAUUAUAGGUGCUGUUUUAUUUUUUUCUUUCAUUUGGCUCUAUUUGUUUAAAAAAAGUAAAGUUCUAAGUUGAUUAAAGAAAGACACAAUAAAACUAGAUACAAAAUUAAGUGGUGUAUUAUAAUUAAUUGAUGUUCUAUCGUAUAUAGAUAAAUUCAAUGAUUAUAAUUUAUCAUUAUUAUAUAUAUUAUUUAGUAUUCUUUUUUUCGUAUCCAAUCUUUUAUUACGAAAAUAUUAUUAAUUAAUUUUUUAUUUACAAGAAUCAUUCUACUAUCGCUUGACUUUUGAACUAGUCCUAUCUUGUUAAUUAAUUGCUUAUGGUGUACUCAGUGGCGGAACCAGAAUCUUUUUAUAGGGGAGGCAAAAUUUUUAAACCAAGCGGUGACGGGCCGGCGGCGACGGACGGCCGGCGGCGGCGACGGGCGGCGGCCGACAGGCGGCGAAAAACUAUCGGAAUUUGGUCGCGGAGUUCUUCUAUAUAUUGCGAAAAAAAUAUUACAAUUUGUGUUGCGAUUGCGAAUAGUCGGAAUUUCAAUUCCCUGUCAUGUUCAUAUUCCCCACCAUUUCUUACUGAUUUUUCCCACUUUGGUUGCACCAAUCUUCUGAUCUGUUUUUUGUGUCACAUUUGAUAUAAGCCCAAGAACAUAGAGACAUAUAAUUUGUAAAAUUCCAGCUAUUUACAAAAGGAUCAGCAGUGAUUUCAAAUGAUUGUUUAACAGAAACUAGAAUUGAGGCCUGUUUUUUCAGAAACAAGUUAUGUAGAGAAUCCGAAUGAGACGAUGAAGAAAGGACAAGGAAAAUAGAAGAGAGGAAGAGAAGCCUAAAAUCAGAAGCAGCUAUUGAUGUUUUUUUUUUUUGCAGAAAUAAGAAGGUUUGUUUUAAAGAACCAAGCUUUUUAAACACGAAGAAAAGAAAUGGUCAUUUUCAAGAAUGCACCAAUCCCCUGUCAUGUUCAUAUUCCCUGUCAUGCACCAAUCUGCUGCCCCUGCCCCCGCCCCCCUCCUAGUCGGCGACCGCCUCUCUACCGGCGUCCGGUGUCCGGCUACCGGGGGCAACUGCCCCCACCUGCCCCCCUGGUUCCGCCGGUGGGUGUACUUCCGCAUAAUCUUUUUCUGUGUAUGUUUAGAUUAGUUUUAUUGUUACGCAAAAACUAGUAAAUGUUAUUGUGAAAUUUUAUUUCCUCGGUUAAAUGUAUUUGUGAUAUUCUCAUUCAUAAAAUUUGAGUUUAUUGAAAUAUUACUAAUAUUGAUUAUGAAAUUUAAUUAUUGUAUUUUGUAAUUAUAUUAUCCCUCCAAAUUGGGGGCAUUAAAAAAAUCAAUGAAAACUCUCAUUCGUUUUUAGAUAGAAAAUCUAAAAUUGACACUUAUCUUAAAAAGAAGAGAACAUGAAUUUAAAAUUACUUAAAAUAUUUAGGCGAAAUCAACUUGUUUUGAUUGGGUCAAUCUUUUGAAAUUAAGUUUUCAGCUUAGAAUCUCUCAAGUCCAUCCAAAGGUUAAGCUAAUCAACACUCCCCGGCGAAUUUGACACUAACUUCACCUUCAUAAAUUCUAUAAAUUUUUAGUUAUAGAAAAUGUUGUAUUAUUAAAUUCUAUAACUUUUUUAUUACAUUGAUUGAUACAAUAUUUUCUAUAACUCAUACAAUUAAUAAAAACUUAUAUGAACUUAUUAGAGAGAGUGAAGUUAAUGUCAACUUCACCAUCUCAGAUAUAUAUAUAUAUAUAUAUAUAUAUAUAUAUAUAUAUAUAUAUAUAUAUANNNNNNNNNNNNNNNNNNNNNNNNNNNNNNNNNNNNNNNNNNNNNNNNNNNNNNNNNNNNNNNNNNNNNNNNNNNNNNNNNNNNNNNNNNNNNNNNNNNNNNNNNNNNNNNNNNNNNNNNNNNNNNNNNNNNNNNNNNNNNNNNNNNNNNNNNNNNNNNNNNNNNNNNNNNNNNNNNNNNNNNNNNNNNNNNNNNNNNNNNNNNNNNNNNNNNNNNNNNNNNNNNNNNNNNNNNNNNNNNNNNNNNNNNNNNNNNNNNNNNNNNNNNNNNNNNNNNNNNNNNNNNNNNNNNNNNNNNNNNNNNNNNNNNNNNNNNNNNNNNNNNNNNNNNNNNNNNNNNNNNNNNNNNNNNNNNNNNNNNNNNNNNNNNNNNNNNNNNNNNNNNNNNNNNNNNNNNNNNNNNNNNNNNNNNNNNNNNNNNNNNNNNNNNNNNNNNNNNNNNNNNNNNNNNNNNNNNNNNNNNNNNNNNNNNNNNNNNNNNNNNNNNNNNNNNNNNNNNNNNNNNNNNNNNNNNNNNNNNNNNNNNNNNNNNNNNNNNNNNNNNNNNNNNNNNNNNNNNNNNNNNNNNNNNNNNNNNNNNNNNNNNNNNNNNNNNNNNNNNNNNNNNNNNNNNNNNNNNNNNNNNNNNNNNNNNNNNNNNNNNNNNNNNNNNNNNNNNNNNNNNNNNNNNNNNNNNNNNNNNNNNNNNNNNNNNNNNNNNNNNNNNNNNNNNNNNNNNNNNNNNNNNNNNNNNNNNNNNNNNNNNNNNNNNNNNNNNNNNNNNNNNNNNNNNNNNNNNNNNNNNNNNNNNNNNNNNNNNNNNNNNNNNNNNNNNNNNNNNNNNNNNNNNNNNNNNNNNNNNNNNNNNNNNNNNNNNNNNNNNNNNNNNNNNNNNNNNNNNNNNNNNNNNNNNNNNNNNNNNNNNNNNNNNNNNNNNNNNNNNNNNNNNNNNNNNNNNNNNNNNNNNNNNNNNNNNNNNNNNNNNNNNNNNNNNNNNNNNNNNNNNNNNNNNNNNNNNNNNNNNNNNNNNNNNNNNNNNNNNNNNNNNNNNNNNNNNNNNNNNNNNNNNNNNNNNNNNNNNNNNNNNNNNNNNNNNNNNNNNNNNNNNNNNNNNNNNNNNNNNNNNNNNNNNNNNNNNNNNNNNNNNNNNNNNNNNNNNNNNNNNNNNNNNNNNNNNNNNNNNNNNNNNNNNNNNNNNNNNNNNNNNNNNNNNNNNNNNNNNNNNNNNNNNNNNNNNNNNNNNNNNNNNNNNNNNNNNNNNNNNNNNNNNNNNNNNNNNNNNNNNNNNNNNNNNNNNNNNNNNNNNNNNNNNNNNNNNNNNNNNNNNNNNNNNNNNNNNNNNNNNNNNNNNNNNNNNNNNNNNNNNNNNNNNNNNNNNNNNNNNNNNNNNNNNNNNNNNNNNNNNNNNNNNNNNNNNNNNNNNNNNNNNNNNNNNNNNNNNNNNNNNNNNNNNNNNNNNNNNNNNNNNNNNNNNNNNNNNNNNNNNNNNNNNNNNNNNNNNNNNNNNNNNNNNNNNNNNNNNNNNNNNNNNNNNNNNNNNNNNNNNNNNNNNNNNNNNNNNNNNNNNNNNNNNNNNNNNNNNNNNNNNNNNNNNNNNNNNNNNNNNNNNNNNNNNNNNNNNNNNNNNNNNNNNNNNNNNNNNNNNNNNNNNNNNNNNNNNNNNNNNNNNNNNNNNNNNNNNNNNNNNNNNNNNNNNNNNNNNNNNNNNNNNNNNNNNNNNNNNNNNNNNNNNNNNNNNNNNNNNNNNNNNNNACCCCUCUCUCUCUCUCUCUCUCUCUCUAUAUAUAUAUAUAUAUAUAUAUAUAUAUAUAUAGUCAUUUAAACUUUAUCAUAAAACAUGCAGACCAAGUCCUAACAGAAUAAGAUUUAUUGAAAAGGAUUUUGAAAGUUAAUUUGACAUAUGAACACACAUACAUAAUUUUCUCUAAUUAAUAUCGGUUUGCAAAUAUCUGUUUUAACCGUAAUGCAUUAAAAUAUAUUAAUUAAAUAUAGAAAUUCAACAUUAUUAUUAUUACUCGGUAUAAAUAAAGUACUAUCUAUCUAAUAUAAAAUUAAAAUGUCGAUAACAUAAUAUUCUUCUUAUGCAUGACUUGUCGAGCAUGAUAGUAGCUAAUUUAAGUGUUAAUACUAAAAAAUCAAAAUCAUAAGGAAUUUAUGACAUAAUUAUCCUUACAUUUAAAAGUAUUACAUAACAUAUCAAUAAUAUAUUCAAAAGUAUUACGAUACGUAUCAACAAUACAAUACAAUACAUAUCAGGUUUGUGGACCAUUAAAUUAAAAAUUAACCUAAAAUUGUGGAUUCAUUGAAUCUGAUUUUGAAUAUGCUUACGUAAAAGUCGUACGUCAGAGCCCUUAAGUCAUUCAAAGCCGACCAACAACUGAAAUAUUAUUAUUAUUAUGCAGCGCCUCCGUAAAGUAGGGACCAUUUUUUCACUUAUUAAUUAUCAAUUUUAAUAAUAAUAAAAAUUGUUAACUAGUAUCAUAUAUAAUUAUGUUUUAUAUAAAUUAAUUAAUAAUUUUAAAAUUUAUAUUACUAUGCACUUUAGAAAUUUAAAGAAUAUAUAUAUAUCACUAAUUUAUAUCAAUAAUAUGUCCUCUAUUCAAUAUAUAAGAUCAUUGUGAUUUUUUUAGAAUCAAUUAGAAAAAAAAUUCAAAUUGAUUAACAAUCUCAGUAUAAUAAAAUCUUAUAUUAAUUAUUUUGCACUUUAAAGAUUUUAGAAAAUUAGCAUAUGAACAUUAAUUUGUCACAAAGGAAGAUAAAAAUUAUACUCUUUCUGCAGGAGAUAAUUCGACUUUUCAAUAUAAUAACUAUAUCCUAUAAAUAGCUUUUGAUAGAUAAGCUUUUAUUACUUAAAAUCAAUGUGUAGCUUUAAUAACAAUAACGAUUAGAGAAACAUAAUUCAAUAUUUCUCUUAGAAAUUAGUCAAUAAUCUCAUCCUUAUUUUGUGCAUCGAUCAUACUUGUAUGUUUUGAAAGGGAUAUUCUUAUUAUUAUUCUUGUUUGAUUAAUUGUUUAGGAGUAGUGAAUUUACUCAACUUUCAGAAAAAGAUUUUACUUUUGAAUGAGAUAUUUUUCGAGUUUUGCAUUACUAUGAAUUGCUACUUUUUUUAUUAUUAUUUUAUAAUAUAAGUUGUCUACUAUUUUUAUUUAUUUAUUGAGUUUGAUGCAACGAUUAUUUUGUUUGUAUAUUUAAGAAUUUAGGAUAUUUCACAUAUAUUUGAAAUUAAAUGUUGGGUAGUAAUACUUUUUAUGAGUGGUUAGUAUGAAGUUAAUUUUGGUCAAUUGAUCAAUACAGUGUCAACACACAGAUCGAAAAGUAAUUUUUCUAUCUGCAUGUCAAUACUGUAUUAAUCAAUUAACCAACUUAUCAUAAAAUUAACUUUAUCAUAACCCGAUACAAUAUUAUUAGAGCUGUUUGAAUGAUUGAUGAUGUGUUAUAUCGAGUCACACCAAAUUAGCUAGAUAGAUUCGUGUCUCGCACCAAUUAAAAAAUUCGUAAUAAUUAAUUAAAAAGUACUCCACGUAAGACCUCAUAGAGGAAAAGGCCUAUAUUGCUCAAUAUAGGUAAGGGCCUAAGGGGAGUGGUGCCGUGGACCAAAAAGGUCACUCCUCUCUUUAUUUGCAUUGUAUAUACCCAUCGUAUCCGCAAAGGUAAUUAUUAUCUUGACAAAUACUUAAAAAUAUUAUAAUUAUAAACAUAGAUUUUAUUGGUUUUAAAAUAUAAAAUUAAUAUUAAUAUUUUAAAAAUUAAUUUGAAAAAAUUAUCAAUACAAAGUUGAUAUAGUCAUUUAAGUUUGAAAAGAAUAAAUUUUUUUGAUUAAUAAUAUUUUUAGACAAUACAAAAUAUUUAUAAUUAUAUUAAUUAAAAUUUAUAAAUUUAUAAAUAUUUUUAAUUAACUUUCAAGCGUCAAUGUUGUUUUUAUAUUUUGAUACAGAGAGAGAUAUUUUUUAAAGUAAAAAAAUAUUCGCAUUGUAAAGAGAGAAACAAAAUUGAUAGCUCAAUAAAUAAAAAAUCGCAUUGUAAACAUCUUCGUUCCACUUUUAUAAGAUUCUCAUGAGAGAGUGAGACUGAUCCAUCGAAGAACAUCUUCUUUUUUAACGAAAAAGAUUAAUUCAUUAUUCAUGUGAUUAAUAUAAUAACUAGUUCAUCGCAUAAUAAUAUAUUUUUCCAAACACAUAACUUAUUAAUUUUAAUAUUAAUUAACAUCAUAAUAAAACACUAAUUUCUUCUAAUUAUUAUGCACAACUAUUUAACAAUUAAUUAAAAUAAUAAUAAUAACUAAUUCACCACGUAAUAAUAUAUUUCUCCAAACACAUAUCUCAUUAAUUUCCCCCAAAAUUAACAUGCAUAUAAGUUCACAUGAAUACAUUCAAUAUGUAAUAAAUUUUUCAAAAACAACUAUAAUAUUUAUUUAUUUUUAAAAAAAAAUUAAUAGAAGAAAGCUUACAAAAAAUUUACUUGGAUUUGAAAACUUGUAUAUGAAUGUGAUGCUGGAAAAAUUUCCUCUUCUUUCUCUAAAUUUACUCUCAAAUGUUGGUUGAAUAUGGGAGAUUUAAUUGCAGGUUAAGAGAAUAUGAAAAGUUGAGGGAAUAUGGAGUGAUAGUGGAGUGAAGGGGCGAAUGAAAAAUGAAGCGGCAAACCAAUAGGUAUAACAAAUUUUUUCUCUCAAAUGUUGGUUGAAUAUAGGAAAUUUAGUUACAGGUUAAGAGAAUAUGAAAAGUAGGGGAAAUAUGAAGCGACAAUAUAGGGAAUGAGCGAAGGAAAAAUGAAGCGGCAAGCCAAUAAGUAUAACAAAAAUGUUCUCUCAAUUGUUGGUUGAAUGUGGUAGAUUUAGUUGAAUUAAGAAAAUAUGAAAAGUUAAGAGAAUAGGAAGCGACAGUGGAAUGAAGGGGCGAAGGAAAAAUGAACCGGCAUGUGGGAGAUUUAGUUAUAAGUGUAAGACCCCGAAUUUUAUGAAAUAAAAGUAUUCAAUUUUUCUAUUCAAUAAAUGAUUAAAUUGAUAAAAAGCAAAGUUAAGGGUGCUAUAUGAAUUUUUUUUCAAAAUAAGCAAGUGGUUAUAAAAUAUUCAUUUUUGUCGGGGAAUAUUCGUUUGGUCGUGGAAUAUUCUUUCUGCCGGGUUUUGUACGACGGUGCAGCCAUUUGUGGGCCCCAUAACAAAUAACUGUCGGAAGAAAAAAAUGACAAAAUUGAAUAACGGCGUAGUUGUUACCGUUAAUACUGUUGGAAUACCCGGUGGUUAAAAUACAGUAAUACGCGUGGUUGCACAGUAGCACACGAUAUUGCACAGUAUUGUUGAAUUAUUGAUCCUUACGUAAGAAGGCACUACUCAAUAAUUGUUACAGUAAUUACUGUUCAAUAUUUUAUUUUAUUGAUUCAAUAAUUGCUGCGCUGAUAUUUUAUAUUAUUGUUGUUUCAAUAAUUGUCACUGCACAGUAUUUUCCAUUAUCAGAUCAAUAAUUCAUAUUAUUUGGAAUAAUAUUAUUAGAUAGCAUUAUUGGCAAUGUCUAGAAAGUUCUGUCAAGGAGAGGUUUGGUCACCUAAUUGCGCGCCAGUAAGGAGAAAUCCUUAUCGGAAAGCCCCCUCUUUCCUGGGAACUGCCUGGUUGUCAUUAUUGUGAUUCUGUAAUAUUAUUUGUGAAUAAUUAAUUAUUGAUUUAUAUGAUAAUGAAAUAUUUAUUUGAUGUGGAUAUAAAUGAUGGAUUUAUUUAUGUGGUUAUAAAUGAAGGAAUUAAUGUUGAGGUAUUUUAUCAGUAUUUUGUCGGAUUGGAGGUAUUAAAAGAUCAAAUCAGUGUUCUUACAGCUUUAUUGUGUGAGUUAUAAUUUUUAAUCUGACCGUUGGAUCGUUGUGAUUUUUGGAUAUGUUAUACAUAUAUAAGUUGAGUAUAUGUUCACAAAUUUUGAACCGUUAAAAAUGAACGAAUGAUUUGUUAUGAAUUUUAAGAGGUGACUGAUUCGGAAAUUAGGUUUAUAAAUGAUUUUGGUGGAAAAUUCUAGAAAUGGGUGGGCCCCACUUUUGGUUGUUGGGGAAGAUGGCUGAUUUUUGGUGGGUGGAAUAGUAGCAGGUAAAGCCAUCAGGUAGCAGGUCAAGUCUGCUUCGGCGUGCUAACAUUUUCCUAUAAAUAGAGGGCUAAGUUAGAAUUGAAAAUCACACCAGAAUUCAUAAGUUUUCUCUCUUUUUCUCUCUAGAUUAUCGAGUGUAUUUUGUGAGUAUUUAGAUACUUGGUGAGUUGCUAUUCAUCAGUGCAAGUUUCCUUCAGCGUCAUAUCCGAUAUCCAGUCAGAAGUGCUGCUCUUUUGAGGUAAGGGAUAGUAAGGGAUAUUAAGGGAUGUUAUAUUCUUCAUAAUGAUGUUAUUCUUUCAAUAUCAUUAUACUGACAUAUUGGUAUGGAUCUUAUUGUGGAAUUUAUACCUUUUUGAGUCGGGGUUACUAUUCACGUAUACGGCACUAUUCACGUAUAUGGCACUAUUUACGUAUAUGACAUUAUUUACGUAUACGGUACUAUGUACGAAUAUAGAGUACCAUUCAUAAUUUACUAUUCACGAGUUACUAUUCACGGGUACUAUUCACGACAAAAAAAAAUUGCUUUCUUUUUCUAACCAAAUUAUCGUUAAUUUAUGAAUCUUACUCUUAAAAUUAAAUCCAUGUUUUGAUGAUAUUGUUUUUAUUAUCAUAUAUAACAUUUUUAUAAUCCUGGUGAAGAAAUUUCUCUUUGACUUGAGUGUAAAGAUGGGUAGAUUAUUGGUAUGAUCAUGACUAUGGGUUCUCUUUGGCCUGUAGUGCAAAGAUGAAUUGUGACUAGUAUGAUCAUGACCAUUGAAUUUACAAUUGAAUAUUUUUUAGCUUAAGUGCAAAGGUGAAUUGAUCAACAUGGUUAUAAUUAUGGUUUAUAUAGAAUUUGAAAUGAUUAUAUAUUUCUUUGAGAUGUGAAUAUCUUUGGCCCGUAGUGCAAAGAUGAAUUAUUGUUGAAUAUCUUUGGCUCGUAAUUCAAAGAUGACCUGUUGUUGAAUAUCUUUGGCCUGUAGUGCAAAGAUGACUUGUUGAUGAAUAUCUUUGGCCCGUAGUGCAAAGAUAAAUUUAUUAGUAUGAUUAUGAACAUGAACUGUGAUUUGGUAUAACCAUGAUCUUUGAUGUUUCAGNNNNNNNNNNNNNNNNNNNNNNNNNNNNNNNNNNNNNNNNNNNNNNNNNNNNNNNNNNNNNNNNNNNNNNNNNNNNNNNNNNNNNNNNNNNNNNNNNNNNNNNNNNNNNNNNNNNNNNNNNNNNNNNNNNNNNNNNNNNNNNNNNNNNNNNNNNNNNNNNNNNNNNNNNNNNNNNNNNNNNNNNNNNNNNNNNNNNNNNNNNNNNNNNNNNNNNNNNNNNNNNNNNNNNNNNNNNNNNNNNNAGGUAAUAAGAGUGUAGCUGGGUCGAGCGGGGGUAACAGGGGAAUAGAACGGUGAUCAUCAUUUAGUAGUUAUAUUUGGUGAAUCAACUAUGAUGAGGCGAACCCAACGUUGGAAGGGUGUUUUGUCACUAUCAUACAAGAUGUCUAAUGACAUACAACCUCGUGUCAUCAUAAGGCAUGGUUGUACUCAUCCACUUGUUGAGUAUAUCUACGAGUACUACCUAUAUGAUCUUGGAGUUUAUUUGAAGUAUAAUUCUCAAUUGGAGACAGUGGAGAUAGUUAUAUGUCAAGAGAAGACUCACCAUUGGGAAAAACAUGAUAGUAAUCUUCUCGUUUUUCUUUGGGGUCUAUUGGGUCAACCAAGGAUAAUUCUGCGGCCAUAUGAUAUAUAUCAUAACCUAGAAGCAUGGCCUCCCAUGUACGAAGGUUUCCUUGAGCACUUCCCAAAGAUUCUAAUUUCUAAAACAGUUUUGACUAUACCUUUAUGUAAGGUGUCAUUGUGACGUGCUAUCAAAGGUUGGGACAUGAGUCACAGUUGGUAUAUAUUUGUAUCAAAACUCAUAGCAUUUAUGUUGUUGUAUUUUGCACGAAAAUUGUUGUAAUAAAGUUGUAGUUGUUUUCUGUACCAUGUAUUUGGCGACUCAGAAUGGGUUGGAUGGAAUGGAUCUAUUUUGGGGUUGUCAUAAUAGGUUAAGAAAAUAUGAUAAGUUUAGGGAAUAUGAAGCGGUAGUGGAGUGAAGGGGCGAAGGAAAAAUGAAGCGGCAAGUCAAUAGGUAUAACAAAAAAAAAUUCUCAAAUGUUGGUUGAAUGUGGGUGAUUUAGUUGCAGGUUAAGAGAAUAUGACAAGUUAAGGGAAUAAGAAACGACAAUUGAGUGAAGGGGCGAAGGAAAAAUGAAGCGCAAUGAUGAAUUUUUAUUUUUUGAUAUGUGGAGUAUCCUGACUUGCGUCGGACUAAUCUUUUCACCCCGAACAAGACUUCCAAAAUAGGCUUACGUGUAAGACCCCAACUUUUUAUUAAUGAAAUUUAAUUUCCUCUAUUUAUUAUUUUGAAAUAGUAAGGGUUGAAUUGAUUAAUGUGAUUAGUUAUGGGUAAAAUGCGCAAAUAUUUUAAAUAAGCAGGUGGUUAUAAAAUAUUCAUUGUUGUCAGGGAAUAUUCGUUUGGUCGUGGAAUAUUCUUGCUGUUAGGGAAUAUUCGUACGACGACACAGUCUUUUGUGGGCCCCAUAACGGAAAGCGAUUGGAUAAAGAAAACGACAAGUAUAAGUUGUUUAUAAAUAACGGCGUAGUUAUUACUGUUACACUGUUGGAAUUCCCGGUGGUUAAGACACAGUAAUACGCGUUGUUGCACAGUAGCACACGGUAUUGCACCAAUUAUUGAUUCUUGCGUAAGAAGGCACUGCUCAAUAAUUGUUACAGUAAUUACUGUUCAGUAUUUUAUUUUAUUGAUUCAAUAAUUGCUACGUUGAUAUUUUAUAUUACUGUUAUUUCAAUAAUUGUCACUACACAGUAUUUUUCAUUAUCGGAGCAAUAAUUCAUAUUAUCUGAAUAAUAUUAUUAGAUAACAUUAUUGGCAAUGUCUAGAAAGUUCUGUCUAAGGAGAGGUUUGGUCACCUAAUUGCGCGCCAGUAAGGAGAAAUUCUUAUUGGAAAGCCCCCUCUUUCCUGGGAACUGCCUGGUUGUCAAUAUUGUGAUUCUGUAAUAUUAUUUGUGAAUAAUUAAUUAUUGAUUCAUAUGAUGAGGAAAAUAUUGAUUUUAUGUGGAUAUAGAUGGAGAAAAUUUUUAAUGUGACAAUUGUUGAAAAUUGAAAUUUUAUCUUUUUCUGAUAAAAUAAUUCAUAUAUAUAUAUAUAUUAUUAUAUUUUAAUAAUAUAAUAAUGGUGAUAUUUUUACAACGAAUGUGGGAUAUAUGAGUAUACGAGGAGGAAGAGUAUUUUUGUUGCAAUAAAUGUUUAAAACAUGUUAAACAUGUCGGUGGACCCCAUUUCUUGACUGAAAUUUGAUUAUAGCCUGUAAAAUCGCCCGUUUGUGGAUUUCGGUCAAUUUCUGUUUGGAAUUUGGAAAAACUUUCUUCUGCAAAGUUGUAGAGAAUUGAAUUUCCUAUAAAAACUCGCGAGAUUCGAAUUUUCUGAUAAAAGGGCUAUUUAUUAUGAAUUAUUGAAGUUCCGAAGUUCUAGAAUAAUUGAUUUUUGAAGUUUUAAUUAUUUUUUUUAAUAAAAAUGUUUUUGUUAAGGUUGGUGGGCCCCACUUAUUGUUAAACAUGCUGAAAUUAGAUGAUUCAAGGUGGGUGUAGAAAAAUUUAUAUAUAUAUAUUAAUAUUUUAUUAAAUUUUCUGCUUUGGUGUUCUAAGCAUUUUCCUAUAAAUAGGGUGCUUAGGUUAGAAUUGAAAAUCACACCAGAAACUGAAGUUUUCUCUCUCUAUAUUAUCGAGCGUAUUCUUGUGAGUAUUUUGAGUAUACUUUGAGUAUUGCUAUACGGUGCAAGUUCAAGUCAUAGCCUAUAUCCGGUGUUUCAACUAGAAGUACUGUCUUUCGAGGUAAGGGAUGUUAUUUUAUUCUAAAAUGAUAUUAUUUCUUCAAUAUCAUUAUGCCGAAAUAUUGGUUGGAACUUUUUAUCAAAUUUGGAACUUUUUCAUGUCGGAGUUACUAUUCAUGAGUUACUAUUCAUGAGUUACUAUUCACGAGUUACUAUUCACGAGUACUAUUCACGAAGCGUGAAGAUUUUUUUUGUGAAAUUUCUAUCUUUUGGUGUCGGAGUUACUAUUCACGUAUACGGCACUAUUCACGAAUACGACACUAUUCACAGAAAAAUUAAAUUUUUUUUUUUUGUCCAAAAUAUCUAUUAUGGAUACUAGCUUUGAUUGUAUCCAUGUUUUGAUCAUUCUUGAAUUUUACUCCACUAUGAUUAUUUAUGAAGUAUUUUUGAACUUGGAUUGUUUAAAGUACGAAUCCUUAAUAUUUGUUCUUUUGUUUCACUGGAUUCGUUUUCUUUAAAAUAUUUUUCAUCAUCCUCAGUCCUAAAUGAUGAUAUUACUGAAUAUCUUUGGCCUGUAGUGCAAAGAUGAAUGAUUUUCUGAUGAAUAUCUUUGGCCCGUAGUGCAAAGAUGAACAGGUGUUGAGAUGAACAUGACCAACUGAUGAAUAUCUUUGGCCUGUAGUGCAAAGAUGAAUAUUUGAUUCAAGAUGUAUAUUGAUUGAUGUUACAGGGAUAAAAUAUUGAUGAUGGACUUUUAAAUUCAUAGAUAAUAGUAGAUUUCAUUCUCUACGUAACUCUUCUAUGAAUUAUUAUUUCCGCUGCGAAUAUUGAUCUAAAACUUGUUGUCUAUUGUAUUCUAUCAGAUUUUUCCCUGUUGAAGACUAACGAUAAUUUGUUCUAUAUUAUCUUAGUCAUAAUAUUCUUUACUGGGCUAGUUGAGCUCACCCUUUUCCUUUUUGUUCCAUUUUUCUUCUCAGGAGGCGAGAAUGUAGCGAGUACUAGUCGGGGUAUGGAAUGAAGGUUUUAGAAAGUCGUUUUAGUAGUCCUCACUAUUUUUGUAAAAUAAUGUAUCAAUAAUUGUACUGAGGACUUAUUUGAGUGUGGAUAUUGUCUAGAUGACAAUAUUUGUAUUUAAACUCACAAUUUUUAUGUUGUAUUAAUAAAGUUGUAGUUGUUUCUAUACCAUGUAUUUUGACGACUCAGAAUGAGUGUUGUAUACCUAUUUUGGGGGCGUCACAUUACGCAUGCGGUCCGUUUCUUCUAUGUUGCUUUAAGUGGGAGUCAAAAUUCAAGACCUCCGAGUUUACAGCUGGACUCAAGUUCUCCUUUAAACCACUGAGACAAACAACGUGGUUUGCGACAUGAUGAAAUUUAUUACCAUUAUUAUUAUUAUUAUUAUUAUGGUUAUUGUUGUUGUUAUUAUUAUUAAUAUUAUUAUUAAUAUUAUUAUUAUUAUUAUUGUUGUUGUUGUUAUUGUUAUUGUUGUUGUUAUUAUUUAUUUAUUAUUAUUGAUAUUGAUAUUGUUGUUAAUAAUAUUAUUAUUGUUGUUGUUGUUGUUAUUAUUUUAUUAUUAUUAUUUAUUAUUAUUACUAUUACUAUUAUUGUUUAUUAUUAUUAUUAUUAAUUAAUAAUAAUAAAAAAAUUAUAAUAUUGUUAUUAUUAUUGUUGUUGUUGUUAAAUUAACUUUAAUAAAGUAGGGGUGAUGAGGUAAUUAGGCUACAUUGUCAAGUCAGGUUAUAGCGGCAACAUUGAUGAUUUUGUUUGGUGAAUUAAAGGAAUGGAGGGGCAUUAAAUUUUUCCUUGUUAAUUAUUCUCUCUGUUCCUAAAAGAUUGUCGUUUAGGUUAAUACACACAGAUUAAAGAAUAUAAUUAAUACCUAUGAAAAAUACUAUACUACCCUUAUUUAAUAGUUUGAAUCAAUUAUUACCUUCGUAGAUUUCAAAAGAGAGUAUACUAUUCAAUUAAUGCCAAAACUUUUUCCCACAUGAAACUUAUACUUCAUGCGCCAAAAAAAGUCUGUACAAUAGACAGACUGAGUUUUUUACCCAAAAAUUGCUUCUUAAACGUUUACUGUUCUCUUACCAAUGAUUAUAUGAAUAAGAUUGUAUAUGUUUUUAAAAGGGAAUAGAAAAGACGCCAUGAUUAUAUAAAUAAGAAGCAUUGGGAAGGGAAGGAAUUUUGAAGGCUGUUUGUCUGAUCAAGAAGGGUUUUUUUAUUUUUUGAGGAAAAUGAUUAAAAAAGAGAAAAUUUUAAAUAAGGGUAAAGUAGGAAAAAAAAGGUUAAUUUGUAUUGAUAAACUCAAAACGAUAAUCUUUUAGGAACAAAAAUUACUUCCUAAAACGACAAUCUUUUAAGAACAGAUGGAGUACUAUUAUGCUUGCUUUUUUGUUUGGUGAAUUAAAGGAAUGGAGGAGCAUGUCUAUAAAUUGUGACACUGUCGCUACAACCAAUAGCGGCAGACACUGUAAUCAAUAUUACAUUUCCAAUUUGAUUAUUACAAUAUUUUAUAAUGAGGGGUAGUAUAUUAAAUGUUGUAAUAUUAAAAGUAAUGUUAUUGCCGCUACAUGGUGUUGCGGUAGGGUAUUUUUUCUAUUCUAUCUCAACCAAUAAUUAUAUUGAUUAACGAUUGAGAUCAUGGUUGCUGAAAUAGUUCUCUUGGCAACUAGUUGCCACGGAUGCACACCUAUAUAUAUAUAUAUAUAUAUAUGUAUAUGGGUAAUGAUUCAUAGUAUGUAUUUGCUAUGUAUCCGUAUAUGAUAUACACCAUCUAUACCAUUGAAAAAAAUAACAAGUAUAAUUAGAAAUUGAAAAUCGACGUCCUUACUAUUAGUAGUGGAUGGUAAAAAAAAACACAUAUCAUCCACUACUAAUAGUAUGAGACGUUAAUCACGAUAAAAGUUUUACUUUAUUUUAGGGUUUAAAAUUUAUUAACUAAGGUUUAUAAUUUAUUAAUUCCUUUUUAACUAGGUUUAAGGUUUAUUAACCUUAUUAAUUCUUAGUCAAUAAACCCUAAACAUUGGUUAAUAAACGCUAAAUUCUAAUUAAUAAACACUAAAUCUUAGAAUAAAGUCAAACCUGAUUAGCGUUCACUACUAUUAGUAACAAAUGAUAUAUUUUUUUUUACCAUCCGCUACUAAUAAUAGCGGAUAUCGAUUUUCAAUUUAUAAUCCUGAUCGUUCAUUUUUUUUUUCAUUAUAGGUAGUGUAUGUCCUAUAAAGAUCCAUAACAAAUACAUAAUAUGGAUCAUUACUAUAUAUAUAUAUAUAUAUACAAACACAACGGAUCUAAAGCAUACCUCUUAAAUAUCAUACAUUUAUUAAAACUACGUCGUUUUAGAGAUUCUGUUAAAAAAUAAAAUAAUAUUAAAAGAGAGUGGUCCCACUUGCUUUCCUUUUAUUUAUAAAAAUGCUACUCGCGACUCCACUUAUUUUUUUAAAGAAUCUCCAAAACGACGUAGUUUUAUUAAAUGUAUGUUAUUUAAGGGAGUAUGCUAUUUAAGAGGUAUACUUUAGAUCCGUAAUAUAUAUAUAUACGAAACCUUUCAGGAACGGAUUGAGGGAACGGACAAGCAACGGACCAAAGGGAAAAACACGCAGGUCACAAAGCCAAAAAAAAGGGAAAAAAACAAACUGAAGCAAAAAUUCAAGCGGGUCACAAAGACCCGGGUCAAAAACCCAUGUGCAAUCACAGAACUUUCACUUUCAGUGUAACAAAACAUUACAAACUCUGCCGAUUCUCUCUCAAACCCCCCUUUCCCCGUUCUGAAACUAUGGUUUGCACAGAUGUUACAAUUAGAUAGGCAAACCAAAUCGCGUCUCACUAUUUGCCUACCUUAACCCAAAACCCCAAAUCAAGUCUCCACCUCAGACCUGUUUUGUUAUAUGUAUCCAAAUAACACCAAAAAUACUGUAUUAUAUAAAAAUUCAAGUUCUAUAAAAUAUUAAACUUUUUUUUAGUUGUUUAAAAAAAAACAAAAAAAAAGAAGCAAAAAAAAUCGCAUUUUAGGAAAAUGCGGACUCCCGCACCUGAUCCAAUAUAUAUGUAUAUAUAUAUAUAUAUAUGGAAAGAGAUAUAGACAGCUUCCUAUGUGGGUGGUCCGUAUGUGAACCACCUUUAGUAGCGACGGACAAAAUCCUCGCUAAACCCGUCGUCAUAGGGUCUAAACUGUUACGAUACCCAGAAUCGUCGCUAUAGUCCGGUUCAGACCCUAUGGCAACGUGUUUAGUGACGAUUUUGUCUAUCGUUAAAGGUGGUCCACACGAACUAUAUAUAUAUAUAUAUAUAUAUAUAUAUAUAUAUGUAUAUAAAGUUCAUUUCAACGGCUUAUCCUCUUAUUUUACAUACCAUGUUCACCCCCUUUAGCGACGGUUCGGUCCGUCGCAAUAUCAAAAAACCGUUGUCUUAAUUUUUAGUGACGGAUCGAACCGUCGUCCGGUCCGUCGCUAAAGGGGGUAUGCAAGGUAUGUAGAAUCAAGGGGUAUGCUCUUGAUCCUUUCCGUGUAUAUAUAUAUAUAUAUAUAUACACACACACACACACACAUACACACACACGAAAAGGAUCAAUGGCUCAUCCCCUUAUUUUAUAUACCAUGCUCACCUUUUUUAAUGACGGACCGAGCGACGGUUCGAUCCGUCGCUAUAGGUUUGGUCUGUCGUUAAAAGUUAAGACGACGGUUCUCUGAUAUAGCGAUAGACCGAACCAUCGCCCGGUCCGUCGCUAAAAGGAGUGAACAUGAUAUGUAAAUUAAGAUGAUGAACCUUUAAAAUGAAUUAUAUAUAUAUAUCUAUAAAUAUUUUAUAAAGUGCACGAGAGAUGAGGCCUGAUGGACAUCUCUUGCGUGAGUUGCCUUUCAUAGUAACAAUUAAGGGUGUAAACGAAUCGAGUGGAUCCGAGUAUUGAGUUGCUCAGAUUUGAUUCACAAUAUUUUAUCGAGUAUAAAAUAAGGUUUGAUUGAGGCUCAUUUAGUUACCGAGUCGAGCACGAUUCCGAAUCGAGCCCGAGCAGUUUGGACUUUCCAACGAAUAUGAUCCGAGUAUCAAUUAGAAAUUAUAAUUUGAGGAGGUUCGAGUAAUUUAUCGAACUUUAAAAUGUGCUCAUAUUUGACUCAUUUAUAUUUCGAAUUGAACUUUUAGUCGAGCAAGUACGAAUCAAGCCCGAACUGUUUGCUCAUUUUACAGUGUUAUUUCAUGAAAAAUAAUAUGUAUGAUAAUAAUUGAUUAUAAUUAUCAAAUUUAUCUUUUUAUGAUGGAACACAAAUUAGUUAUAAUUCUAUUCAUUAUUUUGUAUUAAAUUUUUUAUAAUUUUCUAUUGUCACCAUAAUAUUAAUCUUUGUACAUAACAUAUGAAAAAAUAUAUUUAAUUAUACAAAUGACCUCCCAAUUUUCCAUUAAUUAUAUAACAUUUAAUUUUUUUGAAAAUUAAUACUCAAUUCUUUUCAAAAUUAAAAAUAAAAUUUAAUUUUUAAAGUUUAAUAGCGAUAUAUUAAAAUUUAAAAUUAGUAUAACUUAUAAAAAUUUUGAAUGAAAUAAAUUAUUUGUUUUUUAUUUUUUGUUAUAAUAUAUAUAAUUAUAACAAUUGUAUGAAUCAAAUUAAAAUUUAAAUACAUUUAAAGUAUAAUAUGUACCUCAAAAUUCGAACUGUAUGACUAUAAAUAUGGCAUUCCCCGGCAAUGAAAGAGGACUCAAGAGUGAAGGACGAGUCUGCGUGUAUCGGGAGAGAGACGUCAAUGGAUCGGCAACUCGGGAUACGUGACUCGGCAGCAACUCUGUCGGAAGUGGUGGUGGCUGAUACUGAAUAUGAAUCUGACGCCACCACCCUUAGCGGUGGUCCUAACCAUUUAGUCCCUUCCUCACUGGACCACAAGGUACUUUUUACACCGACGUUUUACACGAGGUUUGAAUUUUAUUUUUCUGAACUGCAGUUGUAGUCUAGGCUCAGUAUGAGAACGCUUUUCUAAAGUACUCUUUGCCUUUCUUCAUAGUAUAAUUUUAAGAGGAGAAAAGGUUUACCUAAAAUACAAAGAAAAUCAAAACAAAGUAUUUCGAUUAUUUUUUUUCCCCUCAGGGUGUUCAAACGGCUGCUGUGUUAACUUCACUCUUGCCAAAUGUCAAAACUCAAAUUUCUAAGCAGUUAGUAUAACCAGCUCAUGUUCUGCCAGUGUCACAAGCCAAAACAAUAUGAAUUUAAGAAGGCUUUAUGAAAUUCAUAAAAGCUUACGUACAUUUUUUUGUUUGUUUGUUUGUUUUAACCAUCGAGUCGUGUGAAGUUAAAUUGUUGUUGAUAUCUUUGUUCUAAAUCAUUGGUUCAGGAUACAGGUCAUUGGGCAACUCUAGUACUUGCUUACAGGACACUAGGAGUUGUGUUUGGUGGGCUUGUUACUUCCCCACUUUAUGUUUAUCCUUCAAUGCAUUUUUUGAAAUCUCCAACGGAAGAUGACUAUUUGGGGAUCUAUAGCAUCAUGUUCUGGACUCUUAGUCUAAUUGGAGUUGUCAAGUAUGCAAGCAUAGCUCUAAAAGCUGAUGAUCAGGGUGAAGGUACGUGUGAACCUUUAUGGUCAUUUUGCCUGUGCUAGUUGCGGAAGUUUCUGGAUUGUCUGUCCUUUCAUGUUUGAAGGGUUUCAACUUCUUGUAUUCAUAUUACACAGUGUGUACUCUUUAUGUGGAGCUUUUAGAGUAAAUCCUCUCUUAUCUUUCGCACUAUUCUUAAAUCUUGACUAUGUCUGCGAGAACAUAGGGCCUUGUGUCAUUUGAAACAACCUCUACUUUGUUCUUUUUGGUGUUUAUCCCUUCAGCUUGCCUGCAUAGCAUGUUCGGUCCAUAUUGCAUAAGAUCUCUUUCCUCCAAAUAAAAGGUCAAAUUGGCCCAACAUUUUCAAAAUUUGGAAACAUGAAGGGAAUCGCAGGAUUGAAACAUGAGGGAAAUCAUUGCAAAUGGGUAUAUGCUUGAGGGCACAAGUUUGCAAUUUGUUAGGUGAAAUAAUAGAAAAAUUGAAACUAUGGUUGUAUGAUUUUUCAUAUUUUAAUACUGUGAUUGGAGCUAAAUGCACACACAUACAUGUAUCAUUUUUUUGGGUGAUAGACAUGUUUGGCCUUGUAGGUUGGACAGGCGUUUAGUGCUUAAGAGUAAGAAACUAAAGUAAUUAAGUAAACAUGCUAAAAUAUUUUUAUUUUAGGUCUAAAACAUUGCAACUUUACAUUUAUCCAGAUACUUUUUGUGCCUGAAGUUUUGACCUUGGGAGAAUUCUUGUUGCAGGUGGAACAUUUGCUCUGUAUUCGUUACUGUGUAGGUAUAUGAAUAUUGGAAUUAUUUCUUCCAAACACGUCAAUUCGAACUCGACCUUUUUUCAUGAUAGCCUUUAUGAGAGAUCUGAAAAGCAAAGUAAACUCGGUAUAUUUUUUGAGAAGAGCAUGGUUGCAAGACGGCUGCUGCUUUUUAUUGCAAUUCUAGGCAUGUGCAUGCUAAUUGGUGAUGGUAUACUUACUCCCGCAAUCUCAGGUUUGUUAGUGUGACCUACCUGUACAUUUGUAUUUCUCCCUCCUUUCCCCCAAGGUAUCCAUAACCAUUACUAUCUUCAUUGUUAUUCAAUUUUUCAGUGUUGUCAGCAAUGGAUGGGAUCAGAGCACCUUUUCCUUCUAUAAGCAAGUGUAAGUAAAAAUUCAGUUGCUUUUCAGUUACCACAGUAGGCUUUCUCAUUGAAAACAUGUUGUACUUCAUUUUCUUUAAUAGAUGGUAAUCUAUCAGUAGAUUCUUCUUUAAACAGAAUUGUAGCACAUUAGCCCCACAAGAACAAGAGAUACCUCUAUCAAUUAAAUAUUAAUUGUUCAAGCUCAGUGUUAGAACCGGUGUGUUUUCCUUUUAGAAGAUUCAUUCAAUUUAUCUAACGCUCUAUGUAGGACAUAAAAGAAACAUGCUAUAUACAUUACCAAAUUAACUUUCAUCGACUUCGACAUCCAAAUGCCUUAGACGUGGGACAAUGAUCACUUUGGAGCGCCCCACACAUAGUUUACUAUGGAAUUACUCGGUGAACGUGGUUGGUGGGUAUUGUGUGCACCCAAUAUUUAUUCCGUGCACAUCCCAAGGGUAGUAGCUGCGGCGUAAUUAAAAGUAAUUGGCCAACUGGAUCACAUGUGAGGAGAAGGAAAUAACUAAAAAUCAAAAUGCCACAGUAAUGAACUUCUGGUUUCACUGACUCUAUUAAUCUUUCAUUCAGGUUUUUAUAGACUUUAGUGAGUUAAAAAUUAUUGCUUCAUUAUUUUUAUAGUUCAUUUCUUGAUUACAAUUUUUCUGGUUUUUGAAAUUGCAGCCUUGGUUGAAACUCUUUCUGCAAUAAUUCUUAUUGUUCUGUUCCUGAUGCAAAAAUAUGGUACUUCACGAGUGAGUUUUGUUUUCUCACCCAUCAUGGCUGCAUGGACCUUCACUACUCCCCUUGUAGGAAUAUAUAGUAUUGUGCAUCACUACCCGAGUAUAUUUAAGGCAGUAUCACCAUUUUAUAUCUUCCGUUUUUUUUGGAGAAAUGGAAAAGAAGGAUGGCUAUUGCUUGGUGGUACCAUUCUUUGCAUCACAGGUAAGCUUCUUUCAUCGACUGCAGAAGUUAAAUAUCCGUGUUAUGAGAGUUAUAUGUAACUAUCACAUCAAAUUUUAAUUUUUGUGCAUAAUUGCUGAUCCAUAUCGAAGUGGAUAAAUUUGCUUCAUGUAUAUCCUUUUUAUCAUGUCAAACAUUUGUCUAAAACUUGCCCAGGUGUCAAGUGUCUAACACAGUAAAUUCACACAUUUAGAAGAGUUCACAAAACGCAAGUCCACAAAUGUUGGAAGGUUGUAAGCUCCCAAAUUUGUUGCUACUCAAUUAAUGGAUGUCUCAUACAACUUGUCAAAAAAAAGAAAAGAAAGGAGAGAUCAUACGAAAUUGACGUAGAAACUAUUUUGAGAGCUAUACAUCUUAGGAACAUCAGAUAAGGAGGUAAAGGAUACCAGUACCUCUGGUACAACAUUUAAUGCCCCAACCCUACCUCCUUGCCUUUCAGUGUCACAGUUGUCUUUCUUCUUUUUUGAUUAUUAUAUACCUUUUAAAUUUUCCUUUUUCUUUCAAAAUUUUUCUUUUAGUUCAACACAGUAAAAAGUUGAUUAACACCAUGUGACCAUUUUGAGUUUGUUAUCAUUGUCCUAUGCAGGUUCCGAAGCAAUGUUUGCUGAUCUUGGUCACUUCAACCGAAGCUCCAUUCAGGUGACGUACUAAACAAAUUAUCUUUUGAAUAUUGUGUUUUUACAUACUGUUUUCUGACACUUUUGCUCCCAUCAGAUAGCCUUUUUAUGUACUAUAUAUCCAUCGCUGGUUUUGACUUAUGCCGGACAAACGGCAUACUUGAUCAAGAACCCAAACGAUCAUGAUGAUGGGUUUUACAAGUUUAUACCAACCAAAGUGUACUGGCCUAUUUUUGUAAUAGCCACGUCAGCUGCAAUAGUUGCAAGUCAGUCACUGAUAUCAGCAACUUUCUCUGUUAUCAAGCAAUCUGUUGUUUUGGAUUAUUUCCCGCGGGUAAAGGUUGUUCACACAUCCUCCAGCAAAGAAGGCGAGGUUUACUCUCCAGAAAUCAACUACAUCCUCAUGGUUCUUUGUGUUGCUGUCAUACUUAUUUUUGGAGACGGAAAAGAUAUCGGAAAUGCCUUUGGUAAGAUUCUCUAAAGCUCUGCACCUCCUUUCUAAGAUUGAAUAGAAUGCCGACAAAUUUAUUUACUUUUUAUAAGUGGAAUGCCUGCAAAUUUAUUUUUGAUAUGUAGAACGCCUACAAAGUUUGGAGUCAAUUUUACAGAUAUUUAGUUGUCAAUCACAAUGGUUUUAAUUAUUGCAAAAUUCUUGUUUCUUAUGGUGUCUUGACAUAUCAGCAGUAACAUAUUGUUGACCUAGUACUUUGACAGCUAUAGGAAUACGAGUCAUUAGUUUUAUUUUUGAAAUGUCUUCAGUAUAAUUGUUGUUAGGGUUAGGUUUCUUUUCUUAGAUGUAGUUUUCCUAGUAUAACUUUAAUAUAAGGAACAAUUGAAUAAAUAAAAAAGAAUUGCAACAGCUGUUCUAGUAGUACUCGUUAUUGUUUCUAAGUAACAAAGUUGAGUAGCUGAUUCUUGACUGUUCGUUUGUUGAUAGUGGUGAGAUACAUUUGACUUGUGUUAUCAGGCUUUCGUACUUUGUUGCAUUUACAUAUGAAUUAUAAAUCGCUUGCAGGCGUUGUUGUUAGUCUGGUCAUGCUCAUCACCACCAUACUACUGACAUUAGUCAUGAUCACAAUAUGGAGAACUCCACCAGUUCUGGUUGCUCUUUACUUCGUUGUAUUCUUUGUGAUGGAAGGUGUCUAUGUGAGCGCUGUUUUAACCAAAAUUCCAGAAGGUGGAUGGAUCCCAUUUGCAAUCUCUUUUAUCCUUGCUUUCAUUAUGUUUGGCUGGUUUUAUGGGAGGCAGAGAAAGAUAGAGUAUGAGUUGACGCACAAGAUAGACUUGGACAGACUUGGAGUGCUGCUAUCUGAUCCAGGUGUUCAGAGGGUUCCUGGACUAUGCUUCUUCUACACAAAUAUCCAAGAUGGACUAACCCCAAUCCUAGGUCAUUACAUAAAAAACGUGAGAUCUCUUCACCAGGUUACUAUUUUCACAACACUACGAUACUUGUUGGUUCCUAAAGUCGCACCACAUGAUAGGGUGGUUGUAAAAAAACUGGGCCUUAAAGGGGUAUAUGGAUGUGUGAUCCAGUAUGGCUAUGCAGAUUCUCUAAGUCUUGAAGGGGAUUUGGUUACUCAAGUUACUGAGAGCUUGCGAGCUCACAUACAAAAUUGCAUAGAUAAUGAAGCAUCAGUUCCUCUAGAUUAUGAACUACUCUAUUUGGAAGAGUCAAAGUGCACCGGUGUGGUUCAUAUUCGAGGGAAGAUAAGGUUUUAUAUAGGCCAAAAUUGUGGUUGGUUUGAUAGGAGCGUGCUUGCUUUUUAUGAAGUUCUGCACAGUAAUUGUAGGUCUGCGCUGCCUGCCUUGGGGGUUCCCAUACCGCAGCGUAUUGAGGUUGGAAUGCUCUAUGAGGCUUGAAAUAUUAACCCUAUUUCCAGCUUCAUCUGCCUUGGCCGUCACAGUUGUACCCAAGUGAAAUCAAGCAUGAAAAAGUGAUGCAAGUUUUUGGAUGUUAUAGUGAUCCGCGUUUCAAAUAUAGAAUGGAGAAAUAUGCUCUGGAAAUGAUUCCUUCUUGUCUAACAGGAAAUGUUUAAGAGCUGGGGGAGACGUGGUCAAUAUUAGUUUAGUUUUGUUGCUGAAAACUUCUCUAUACCCUCCCUCUCGUGGUCAUUGGCCUCUUAAGAACUGGAAUAAUUUAAUUUUAACCUUUGCCUCAGGAAAUGGUCGCUAUAUAUAUACAAGAGCAUAAUCCUUAAAUAGUAUAAUGCCUUAAGUAGCAUAAUUUUAUCAAAACGACGCCGUUUUAUAGGGAUGCGGUGACAUUUUUGUAAAUACCAUGCCACCGCGUAUUUAUAAAAAUGCCAACGCGUCUUAUCAAAAUGACGUCGUUUUGAUAAAAUUCUGCUAUUUAAGGCGUUCUGCUAUUUAAGAAUUCUGCUCUUGAUCUUUAUAUAUAUAUAUAUAUAUAUAUAUAUAUAUAUAUAUCAGGUCNNNNNNNNNNNNNNNNNNNNNNNNNNNNNNNNNNNNNNNNNNNNNNNNNNNNNNNNNNNNNNNNNNNNNNNNNNNNNNNNNNNNNNNNNNNNNNNNNNNNAAAAAAAAAAGGUUCGGAUUUUAAACCUGUCUGAGAGUCCGGACAGGAUCCGGCCUAUAUAUAUACCCAUCAAACUGACGUUAUUUUGCAUUUACUCAUUAAACUCAACCUGAUUAGGAGUUGGAUAGAUUAACGAAACAAAAUGGAAUUGAACAUAUUUUACUUAAAUUUAUGAAAUUAGUUUAAAAUUUUCACAGAUUUUAUACUCUUUCCUCCUCUCCCGCCGCCACCACCACCACCACAAUAAAGGCUGGGUUGGUCUGUAAUUACAAUGAAAAUCUAAAUCGAAACCCAAAACACAAAUUGGUAAGUCGAAACCAAUAACUAAUCGCGCCAUUAAAUCUUGUACAAAAUUAUAUAGAGAUAUGCAUGGAAGCAAGAAUCUUUGAUUCUGAAUCAAUGUGGUGUUUCUGUUUUUUUUGUUGUUUUUUUUAACUUUUCUGCCCGACACAAACACAAUAAUUUUAUCAAACAAGUUAACUAUGUAUAAAUAAGCCAACAAGAUUUUAUUAUUAAAAGCUUCUAAUUUUUAGCAUAUUUAUUUUAAUAGAUUUUUAAUUUAUUAUAUUUUUUUUAUCACAUAUUUUAAUUAGAAUAAAAAUAAAAAUUUUAUAACUUUCGCGACCUUGAGAAGAUACAUAAACUCUCUCGCGUGACUGUAUACGUUACUCGUGUUAAAAGUCAAAUGAGUUGUAUAUAUUUUAGAACUUUUUAUAAACUCAAUUAGUUGAAUGAUAAAGAAAAUGUAUUAAAAGUAAAACGUGUGAUUGUAUACGCUACUUUUUUUUUUAUUAAAAGACGAUAUUAGUUUAAUGAACAAAAGUAGAUUGAUCCGAUACUAAUAUAUAUAUAUAUAUAUAUAUAUAUAUAUAUAUAUAUACUUCUUACCUGCCAAAAAUAUACUCUCUAUUCUAAAAUGUAAGUGUUUAGUUUAGUAUAUUGUGAUGUUGAAUUAAAAAAGAUUGCGUCAUUUGGUGGAACGGAUUGUUUUUACAAAUGUAACUCUUUUAUUUUUAUUAUUAUUAUUAUUGUAGAAGUAUAUAUGUACUUGUAUUUGAAUCAUUGAAUGGACUGUUAGUCAAAAAGGUCUUCACCCACCCAUUUUAUUACUAAUUAUUUUUCUUUCACCAACUCUACUUCACCACCCUUGUGUUUUUUUAUUCCCACCCACUCCAUCUUGUCUGCCAAUUUUUUGAAUUGUUUGCCCAACUCAUUAUUACUCUCCUCCUUCAUUCUGCUAUAAAAGGGGCAACAAAUGGAAGAAGAAAACACACCAAAAUUUCAUACUUCAUUCGAGAGUUUAAGGAGAGAAGGAGAGAAAGAAAAGCUUCUGUGAAGCUUUAGAUAAUAGAGAGAGAAAGGUAGUUCAAAUAAAAGGGAGUUUUAUUUGGAUUCUAUCACAUAGCUAUUGUGAAGAAGUAAUUUGGGUUUGUACUCAAAUUAAGAUAUCUUUGUAUUCUCUCAUAUUAUUCUAGUGAAUUCUUUGGAGUUUGUCCCGUGGUUUUUACCUCUUAGUUUUAGAGGGUUUUCCACGUAAAAUUCUUGGUGUCUCGUGGUUUGAUAUUUUUUACUUUUUAUUUCCUGCAGUGGUUAUUAUUUCGGUGGAGUUGCAGAUUUAUUCUGUUUGGCUUAUACUGAUAUUAUUAUCCGUCUAAUUUAUCAAAGACAACAGUAUUUAGGUGGUGAUUUUUCCCAACAAUUGGUAUCAGAGCUAAGGUUAUUUGCUCGGUUGUUUUUUGAUAAAUUUUAUGGAGGAAUCAGUCGGAGCCAUGAUUAAAUUGACCUCUUUAAAUUUUUCGAUCUGGAAGCCUAGAAUGGAGGAUAUCCUUUAUUGCAAGGAUUUAUAUGAUCAGUUGGAGCUCGAGGGAAAGAAGCCAGCGGAAAGUCUGAGGCUGAUUGGAAUAAAAUGAACAGGAAGACUAUUGGUCACAUUCGGCAGUGGAUUGAUCAAAGUGUAUUCCACCAUGUUUCGCAGGAGACGGAUGCUCACACUUUAUGGACAACACUAGAGUCUAUGUACGAGAAGAAGAAUGCACAAAAUAAAACUUUUGUCAUUUGGAAAAUUGUGAAUCUAAAGUACAAGGACGGGAGCAGUGUAUCGGAGCAUAUGAGUGAGUUCCAAGGUUUGGUGAACCAGCUGUCUACCAUGAGUUGAAUCUUGAUGAUGAGAUUCAGGCUCUUUUGCUUCUCAGUUCGUUGCCAAACAGCUGGGAGACUUUGGUGGUGUCUCUAAGUAAUUCAGCUCCAGAAGGAAAAAUGACUAUGCAGAUGGUCAAGGACAGUCUUCAUAAUGAGGAGACAAGGCGAAAGGAGCAAGGCGUAAAUUUUGAGACACAUGCUAUUGUCAUAGAGAACAGGGGCAGAAGCAAUUUUAGAGGAUCUCACAAAGGAGAUACAAGUCGCAACAAAAGCAAAAGCUACAGGAGCAAGUCAAAGACCAGACAAGGUGAAACGUAUAGAUGCUUCCAUUGUAAUAAGGAAGGUCAUUACAAAAGAAAUUGCAGAAUCUGGUUAGACAAGCAGAAAAAUAGUGAGCAUGGAAAGGUUGAGGAGAAGAACAUUGCAGCCACAGUUAUCGAAGAUGUUGUUAUUCUUUCAUUUGGGGAAGAAGAAUGCUUACAUGUUGAUAAUCAGAAAGUUGAUUGGGUGGUUGAUACUGGUGCCUCGUAUCAUGCUACACCUAAGAGAGAAUUUUUCACAACUUACAAAGCUGGAGACUUUGGGUACGUGAGAAUGGAAAAUACUGAUCAGUCCAAGAUUAUUGGAAUUGGUGAUGUUUGCAUUCAGACAGGUGUUGGUUGCAUUGUUACUUUGAGGGAUGUUAGACACGUUCCAGAUUUGCGUCUCAAAUUGAUUUCUGGUAUGGCCUUGGACAGAGAAGGCUAUGAGAAUCACUUUGGCAAAUCUUACUAAGUUUUUUCAAUUUUUAGUCGAUUCGAGCCCAACUAAAAAUAUAAAUGAGUCAAAUAUAAAUAAAUUUUAAAGUUUGAUAAUUUACUCGAACCUCUUUAAAUUAUAAUUUUAUAUUGAUAUUCCGAUCAUAUUCGUUUGAAAAGUUCAAACUGUUUCGAGAUCGUACUCAACUCGGUAGCUAAACGAACUUUAAUCAAACUUUAUUUUAUACUCGUUAAAUUUUAUAAAUCAAAUUUAAAUAACUUAAUACUCAGCUCGACUCAAUUCAUUUACAACUUUACUUCAAUCGUCUACACGGGGUGUUAACCAAAUAUUUUCAAAUCAUUUAAAAAAUAAAAAAAAGUUAAAAGAGACUAUAAAUGUAUAACGUACAUUUUAAAAAAAUAUUAAAAUUUGUGGAUCCUUAUUAAGUAUUUAAAUUAUGUGCUUUGGAGACAAUAUAUUUAUACUUCAAUUAUCUUUUACGAAUACCUUAACUUGAGCAAAGUUUUUAGAUGAACUAAAAGCACUUUAAAAUUAUUUUUUUGAUGGUUGCCAACUCUCAAAAAACACUUUAAAAAAAAAUAAUAAUACAGAUUUGGGUUCUAAAACACAUUUAAGUAAAACAAAAAAAAUUUGUUUUUUAGCUAAAUAAUUUUUUUAUUAAAGAACAAAGUACAAAAGUAUCUUAAAAUUCUUUUAAAAAAAAUCUCAUACCACACAAUUACCUUAAAUCUGUUAUAAAUAUUUUCAAAAAUACUUUUACAAUUACGUACCUAAAUAUUAUUUAAAUUUUCUUACAAAACACAUUUGCCAAAAAAUUUACAUUUACAUUAACAAUAUUUCACGUGGUGUUUAGUAAAUGGGUCUCACCUCUAUGCGAGAGAAAUUUAUAAAAAAAUUAUUAGUUUCAUAUGAGUAAAUAGGUGAGAAAGAAUAUCUUGCCUCCUGAAUUAGUAAGUAGGGUCUAUUCUAUUCACAUUCCUUAGAACAUUGAUGGUCUAAAUAUGCUUAUAUGAAUGGUAAUGGUCUAAAUAUGCCGAUAUGAAUGGUGAUUGCUCUAUCCAAAAUGCUUUUUUCGUGGAAAAAUUGUACACGAUCAUAAUAUUUUUUAUUUUAUUCCAUGAAAUCUUUGACUUCAUAUAUCGUAAUACUAAAUUUUUUUAACCAUCAAUCAUUAUAGUGUCUAUGAUAAUUAAAAAUAGUUAUUUCCAGACACAAAAUGAGUAAUUUUCUUGGGUAAAAUAGUUACUGAGAUCAUCACUUAUCAUUAUGUUCACAAUUGUUGGAAUAAAUCUAUAUUUCCAUUUUUAAAAGGACUAUUGAGUCAAUUUUUUAGAUGAACUAUUUCCUUAAAUUAAUCAUUAUAAUUUCGAAAUUUUAUACAUCAAAAUUAAAUUAAUAACAUUUUUACUUUUUAAAAUAUACAUGAAAAUUUUAAUAUUUACAAAUUUUGUAAACAAGAGGACUAGGUAAUCAAACAAAAAGGCAUCUCAAAUUAUGAAGCGGGGAGUACAAUAAGCAUCACUUGUGACAUAUAUUGGCCGUCCUGACUCAGUAUAUAGACACAAGUAAUAGAGUGCGUCAUUUAUUUGAGCAGAAAAGAGAGAUGGCAACAAUUAAUAAUAUUCCACAGAUUGAAUUAAGCUCCGGCGGAAAAACCAUGCCCGUGAUCGGCAUGGGCACGGCAACGGGGCGCCAAGAAUCCGCAAAACCAGGUAUAUUAGAAGCUAUAAAGGCCGGUUACCGCCACUUUGAUACGGCAGCUAUCUAUGGAUCAGAACAGGCUCUUGGCGAAGCCAUAGUAGAAGCCGUUGGUCUCGGUCUCAUCAAAUCACGAGACCAAGUCUUCAUCACUUCCAAGCUAUGGUGCAACUCCACCGAGCGCCACCUUGUUCUACCCGCCAUCAACAAAACUCUCCAGUACUAUACUAAUCGAUCCAUAGUUUCAUUUGUCAUGUAUAUAUAUAUAUAUAUAUAUAUAUAUAUAUUAAAAAAUCGAUGUCUAUAAUCUUACGCGCAAAUUAACAAACAUUUAUAUGUAUUUUUAACUAACAGCAUUCCCCCAUAUUUUAAAAUAUGUUUUGAGUUGUAUAGGAAUCUUGGGUUGGAGUAUAUUGAUUUGUAUCUGAUACAUUGGCCCAUGCUGGUGAGGCAAGAGGAGUUCAAGGACAGGCCAAUUCCAAAGGAGUGCAUAUUCCCAAUAGACAUAAAGUCGGUGUGGGAAGCCAUGGAAGAGUGUCAAACUCUUGGUCUCACCAAAGCCAUUGGCGUCAGUAAUUUCUCGCCAAAAAGGCUAGAUCAUAUUCUUUCAUUCGCCAAAAUUCCUCCUGCCGUUAACCAGGUGAGGUCCCAAUUAGACGACACCUUUUUGUUUUUUAAAGCACCCAACUAUUGAAUGUUAUGACUUCAAAUAAACUACAAUUUAAUUUUACAUUUUCAGCCGUCCAAUUAAAAUAAAAUAAUAAAAAUAUAUCUAUGUGCGUGUACGUGCGUAUAUUAAGAGUCACAUUCAAAGACAAAUAAUAUACUUUUAUACAUAAUACUUUUGUGUCACUCUUUUACGAAAUGGUCAUGUAUGAAGACGGUCGUUCCAACUCCCCGUCCCCACCAAAUUCAAAAAUAAGAAAUUUAUACUCAAUUCCUACGAACAUCUUAUUAGUCAUCUAUUCUUAAUUUUAUAAAUAGAAUCAUUAAUUCAUUAUCACUUGAACUAAUCUCUAAAAGUUGAUUAGCUGUCGUUGACUUGCUAUUUGAGCGAGGAGUACAAAUUAAGUGCCCUCUUGUUUAGAUUCCUCAUUUGUCUCUAUUAUAUAUUCAACUUAUUAAUCAAUAAUGACUAGUACUUGUCCACUUGAAUUAAUAAUUAACUUUAAAUUUUAAGCAUAUUAUAUAGAAUAACUAAUAGUAUACGUAAUCAUUCCUUACGUAUUUUAGUUCAAUAUUCAAAUGGAGAGAGAGAGAGGCAUCUACUAAUUAUUUCUUUGCCCUUACUUUCAAGUUUCAACAAUACAUGCUUAUGAAAAUGAACAAAGUAGAGGGUUACACUGGGGGGGCAUUUACUUGCGCGUCAUAAAGGUGGACGUACAGUGCAUUAAAAUCAAUUUUCUAAAUUAUUCAACGUGAAAAGAAACAUACGUAUCCCUCAUGCAGAGAGUUUAAAUAAAAAGGUUACAAAUGAGAGUGAGACUGAUGCUUCUGUUGUGGGUUAAUGCCAACAGGGGUGAAAAUCCACUCCAGGAAUGUAAAUUUUGGAAUAGACGUGAUUUGUUUGGUUCUGAUUAUGUCCGCUAAUUUUGCUUCAUUUGAAUUUAGAGGGUUUAUGUCAAAUUCUACGGCAUAGAAAAUUUAUCUUCUUUUGGCAAUGAAUUGAUCUAGGCAUCUAGCUAGCUCUAAUGGAAAUGAAUGGCCUACUGUGUUAAUUCAUCGGUUGAAAUUAAGGUGGAGAUGAACCCGGUUUGGCAGCAUAAACAGCUGAAGGAUUUCUGCAAGGAGAACUGCAUACAUCUUACUGCUUACUGCCCCUUGGGUGCAGUGGGUAGUGCCUGGGGAGACAAUAGAGUAAUGGGUUGUCAUGUUUUGGAAGAUAUUGCCAAACAUAAAGGGAAGACUGUUGCUCAGGUUUGUUUUUCUUCCUCUACACAUUUCAUCAUUUUCAUUAAUGUCUGUUUAGACAUUUCACCAUGCUGCUAUAUAUGUGUGUGUGUGUGUGUGUGUGUGGGUGUGUUUAUAUUUGUGUCAUAUAAAUGAGUGCAUUGUGGAUUAAAGUGCCUGCCUAAUUAUGAUGGAACCCCUGAUCGAUGAAAUAUUAUAUAAACGGCAUGUAGGUAUCUAUAAGGUGGCUGUAUGAGCAAGGGGUGAGUAUUAUUGUUAAGAGCUUCAACAAGGAGAGAAUGAGGGAGAACCUCGAUAUCUUUGAUUGGUCACUAACCGAGGAAGAGUUGAGCAAUAUCAGUCGGAUUCCUCAGCGCAAAGGCGUCUUGCUUAUCACAUAUAUGCAUGUAAAGAGUGAAUUUGGAUUCAAUGAAGUUGACAUUUAUAGCUAAUGUAUGAGAAAGUUCUUAAAGUUGAAUGAAAUAAACAAGUUGUAAGAGUAGCUAGCUAGGAGAAAAGUGUUUGCUCUUUGAAUCAUGAGACUUCAAAGGUUUUAUAUAAAUGAAUAAAUAAAUUGGUGUCUAUAGAGUUGGAUAACUACUGCUUUCUUUCCCGACGUAAUUCUAUCUCCUUAGUCCUAAAAAAAAUCAACAGAUGACCUUGUCAAAAAAUAACCUAAUGCUGAAAAGCUUCCUAAAGUCUGAGACACUGGAACAAGUUCGGUAAGGUAUGACAAGCUUGAUUCUUUAGCAAAAGAAUUUCACACUCUCUCUAAACUACCAUUAACAAAAAGGAGGCACAUGCCUCUUCUCUAUAACAAAAAGUGAGAAUCAAAAGGGGAAAAUACACCUUAAUGACCGCCAAUUACUCACACUUGAUAGAUCUAUAUAUGUGACGAACAAAAACCAAAGCUGCCCGAAAACCAAUAGCCCCAAGCAUGAGAAAGAAGCCAUAGCAGAUGCAAGCCAUGUACCCAAAAAAGAAUGAGAUUUGCAUGAAACCAGACAUAUCAGAUCUUGCAUAGUAGUAGUACAAGCAGUAGCCAUAAAUAAAUAUGCCAGUUGAUCCACCACAAAGAAACGACCUGUGCCAAACCAAAAACACAGAUUAGGCACUAAUAUCAGCUCCUUAACAUAUUUAUUAACCUCACUAACAGUUUCUUCUAAUUGAAAAAACAAGAAACUGUGGUACUGAGUUUCUACUAAACAAAUCAUGCUGCAUUUGAACAUAUAGAAAAAGGAAGGUCAGGGUUGCGGGAAGAAUUCUAUACCUAUAAUCUGACCAUAAAAUGACAUUCAUUAAAAUUAUUAAUCAACGUUAUCAUAUUUGAAGAAAACGAGAGGAACAAAAGCAUUGAUCUAACAAGAAAAUUGUGUACCUCCACCACCAUUCAUGAUCUUCAGCAGCAAGUUGAAAAUAUGUCAAUGCCACAGUAAUGAAUGCAGUCACAAUAAGAAGAAUGAGGAAUACAAUAAACAGGAUGCUGUAUAUUGUAUAGAUCCUGUGACCCCAUACACUAGCAAAGAUGUAGUAAAGUUCAAUGUAGAUGGCACUGAACGGCAAAAACCCUGCCAUUGCCAUCUGUGGAAGAGUACUCCUGUACCAAGGCAGUUCUGGAAUCUCUCUAGGAUACUUUGUGGUGCGGCACGGAGCUUGGAACUCAGUUUUGCUGUUUUUCCCGGCAACCCCACCCAAUACAAGCAAUGGCGAUGUUACUAAAGUCCAUAUAAGCACUAUAACCAUAAUUGUGCCAAAUGGCAAUGCUGCAGUAGAGCUAUAAACUAUGGCAACAGUAUUAAGGAAGCCAAAUGUGAGAAAUAGAGGUCCACAGAAAAGGCAACCUGUAAGCAACAAGUUCCUCACCUAUCAAGAGAAAUAUUAGUUUAUCAAGUUUCACUUAACAAAUCAUAUAUCUGAGAAUGAUAAUCACUACAUGAAAGUACCAUUAACACUUACCCAGUUAGCUCCUUCAAGCUGGCAAUAGAAAGAGGUUGCUGUAUAUCCUGCAAACCCAGAAGUAAGUGCAUACAUGACCACCAGUGCAGUGAACAGAGCUCCUCGGUUGUAUGGAUAAAAUACGCCCACUAGUGCAAGUACAAAUAUGAACACCGUACUGGAAAUGAAUGCGACAAAAAGGUCAGAUAAACUAAUAACAAUCAAUGAGCAAUCAACCUGACAAACUGGCUUCACAAUAUUGGCAAUUUAAGGCUUAGUCGAUACUUACAGAGCAAAUAGUUGGGUUCCAGAACCGAGGGCUGCAGCAAACAAUGAUUUGUGCUUUGGAAAGCGGAAUACAUCACCAUGGAUGUACUUCCAUCCUGUCUCCUCUUGGUCAUCAGCUGAUUCCUCAUCAUGUGCAUACCUUUGAGUAAUUUCAGUUAUUUGUAUUACAAGAUAUGAAGAUGUAAGGAAAAAUUCAAACAAAUGGCAUAUAAUUGUAUAACUAUGGAUGGUUAAAAUAUUUCUUACUUGAUAAAAUCAUUCUUAAGGACUCGCAUGAGGAUUGUUGCAAGAAAACCAGUUAGGAGGAGAACUGUAACGCAAGAGUUUAUGAUUGAAAACCAAUGAAUCUCCAAGUGAUGAGGCAAAGAAGAAGUCUGUGAGAACUUAUCCAUCCUAUUCUCAAACGCAAUGUCUGUUUCCUUCCAUUUUACACUGUAUGUGAACUCAGCAUCAACUUCCUUGUCCUCCGUUAAGUCAAUGACUGAAUGAGGGUCCAUCCGGGCAUUGACCUCAAUCACAUGAUCCUUAUUGUAGAGGACAUCAAAAUGAAUAUGCUUGUAGAGAUAAUAUUUAUACUCGUUUGGGUCGACUUUGCCUUCUCUAUCGACCUUUCCUAUAAAACCCCAAAUGGGCAAGUCAUCGUAAUACAUUUGGAAGUAAUAGUCUUUAUUAACUGCACUGCGAAACUGAACAACUUCUUUCUCUGUCAGCCUCUUUCGGCAUACAACUUCAGACUCUUUAUCCGUCAAGAAAUCAAGUGUAUAUGGAGCACUUACAAGACGGUCCCCAUUCAACACCUCUCCCAGAGCUUCCUUCUUUUCUUUCACAUCAUCUGUCAAAACGAUCAAACAGUAUUAAGGAAAUGAUACAUAUAGUAAUUAAUCUCCAUUAAAUUCAACAUAUCUCUGGAACUCCCAUAGUCAAAUUACUUCGGAAGAUAUUCCAGUUUAGUGUAGAAGUUUCCAGAGAAUAAAAAAAAAAGGGUCCAAUUGUGAGGUGAUUGUUGUCCAAUAGGUAAAGAUGGUAUCAUAACAAAAAAAAAAUGAACACAUGUUCAGAGUAAAAUAAUAUUCCAAUGUAUUCUGAUUGCCAUCAAAAGGAAAAACAAAGCACAAAUCAAGAGCCACAGAGGCCCACGGCUAAAAUAAUAAAUAAAACAUAAAUGAAGAAGAAAACCUGGUAAACAGAAUGGUAGGUCGAAAAAUCUGUACGUCUCACUGUAACCAAAACAAGACAUGCAACAUAAUCAGCAUAUAUAUCAAGCAGUAACUAAACAUGUGAUACUCCCUGCCUAAAAAAAGAGCACCAUUUUCUUUGUAAUUUUGUGAGUGAGUAUACUAAGAAUGUAUAGAUACUGUCCAAACUUGAGAAUAACUAUUCAUAAAUUUACUAAAACGUUAUACAUUAAUGAAUUAUAGUAUUAUAUAGGUACAAAAAUUGUUGCCUAGCAAUGUAUAGAUAUAAACAUAACACCCGAAAUUCGAUAUCACAGAUCCAAGACAAGAUCUUUAGAAAUCAUUGAUCCCACAAACAGCAGGAAUAAGAAAGAAGUAAAAACACAAAAAAAAAGGAUUUUCAAUUCAAGAUUGAUAUGGAAUAUAUAUGGACAUUGACUGUAGAUAUGUAAUGUAUGGAAUGUGGAAUGAAUGGGGAGAAAUUAAUGGUGUAGGGUAGGUACCUGGGGUUGUGGAAGGGACCAACCUUGUUGGAGUAGAGAGGGACAGAGUCACCAGCUCUGUAACGAUGAUUGGAGGCGUCUGAUCUCACUUCCCUUAUUAUUACUAACAUUAUCACAAUCAUCAUCAUCAUCGUCUUCACAGCAAGAGGCGCCAUGCUUAAUUUGCUUACACACAGAUUUGGAAAUGGUAGAACAACACGGAGACACACAGAGAGAAAGAAAGAAAGAGCACACAUACGCCACGUGAGGAGGAUCAUAUACAAUCGAGGAUUGGAUAGCAGGGCAAUCUUACAAAAUACAAACCGGACAAUAAUCCUAAACUGCUUGCGUAGUCCACAUAGCCUGUUUCUUACUCAGAGUGUAGGACACGUGGUCCAUAUCAGUCAUUAGUGGGGCCACCGUCCUUCUUCCGAAUAAUAGGUUAACUUAAUUACCGACCUAAACUCAAAUAUGUUAAAUUUGUAAUUCAAUGAGAAUUUUUAAAAUGAUGCAUUUUUCAUUUCUUCUUCACAAGUAAUAUAAACCUUAAAUUGUUUAUAAAUUAUUGACAAUUCCUAAACAAAAUUUUGACUUUUUUGAAUACAGAGAAAAUAUAACAUAUUUUAGCUUGAAAAAACUGACAUUUGAUCAAAUUUCCAUAUUUAGUGCACAAUUAUAAGUAUAUUGAUUUUGACUUUAGAGCCUCCAAACUUUGUUUUCAUUCUUUCUAUGGUUACCUAUUCCAUUUGGCCUACAAGUUCUUACUCCCUCUAUUCUAAAAUUAUAUAUAUAUAUAUAUAUAUAUAUAUAUUUUAAUCUAUUUUUUAUUUUAAUACUAUAAAAACAUAAUACUUUUAAUUUGUUAUUAUUUUUUUUACUAUUAUUUUCAAUACCACAAAUCGAAUUUCUAACUAAUACGUACUAUGGCUAUAUUUGAAUAUAUAAAAUUAUUCUUAAAAAUUGUGUUUUACAAUGAAUAUUUAUUUUUGAAAUUGAAGAAGUAUAUAUAGAUGUUUUAUUAAGUAAAUGUGGGAAGAAGAAAAGUGAAUUUUAUAUGGACAGAAAUAUAUUAUUAAGUUUAAUUAAUUGAUUAUUUUUUAUAAAAAGGAAAUUUCUCUAGACAAACUUUUCAAAGGAAUGAGACAGGGUAGUAAAAAUAAAGGGAAUUGAUAUUUCCACAUAAAAAAUUUCAUAUCAUUUAACAUGUAAAAAUAUCAGUUUUCAAAACAAAACGUUUAGUCGUGGACCAACGUUUUUUGGAUAUAUAAUACUCCGACCCACGGUUGUUUGCAAUUAUUAUAAUCCCAAUAUUAUAUCACCCUUACUACUAAUAAUAAAGAUAUCAAAUUUUCAUUCAUUUAAGUAUAGAAAGAUAUGAUAAGAUACAACGGUCUUCUUAAAUAAAGUUAAAAGUUAAUUUUGUACACAAAUUUUUAGUCUCAAUAGGGAUUAAUGUGAAAUAUCCCAACAACUUCCUCCGUAAAAAAAUUAGAGAUAUAAUUUGACUUUUGAGGUCAAACAACGACGGUAUAUUAAAUUUCAAAAUUGGUAUAACUCUUAAAAGUUUAGAAUGAAAUAAAUUUUUUGAUUUAUAGUUUUUAUUAUAUACUGUACAAUUAUAAUAUUUGUAUCAACAAAAAUUAAAUAUUUGUAUCAACAAAAUUAUUAAAUAUAUUCAUAUCAAUUUAAAAUUUAAUAUAUAUAUAUUGUUGUUUGAUCUUAAAAUUCAAAUCGUAUUUUUAAUUUUGGAACUGAAGAGGGAGUAAGUCUUAAGGUUAAUACAAUGAGUCAAUGACCCAUGAAAAGUGCAAUGUUCCCUGCUGCAUUUCUGGUUAGUGUAUUGACUAAUAUCUCCCAUCAAUAUAAGCCACAUAAAAAUUUAUGUAUAUUGACUUAUGCUCCAUUCACUUGUAAGGUUUGAAACAAUCAAAUUUUGAAGUAAUAUACUGACAAGAAGAGCAUGCUAUUCGCUUUUGAUAGAUCCAUAUAUAAAAACCCACUGUUCCUAGCACGAGGAAUGUACCAUAGCAGAUGCACACCAAGUAGCCCAAGAAGAAUGAGGCUUGCAAGAAACCAUACAUGUAUGAUAGUACGUGCAAACUAAUCAUACAAGCAGUAGCCAUAAAUGAAGAAGCCAGUUGAUCCACCGCAAACAAAAGACCUGUCAAAUGCAUGGGCACAUAGAUCAGUUUCAAACAAAUUGUUCAAUGGGAAAUUAAAUAGAAUGAUAAUCAUGUAUAGUUCCCCAAUUCCUAGGAAUCAAGUUUUAUGGAUGUCACACUUCAUUUUAGAUGGUAAAAGAUUGUAUAAAUGAGCUUCUUGUUCUGUAUCAAUUGCUAGAGACUUAAACCAAGAAUAACAGCCUCAUAUAUAUAUUGCACUAAGGAGGGGAAUUUAAAUUUAUUGUAGGUGUAACAUAUAGGGGAUUGUUGUUUUAAACAAUGCAUGCAAGUCUUACAAAUGGACGAGUCAACGUACGAGGGGAAAAAAAGGCACUUUGAAACUUAUGUAAACAGAUACUGUAAAGAUAAACAUGAAAGAACUGCACCUCCACCACCAUUCAUGAUUUUAGCCAGCAAGUUGAAUGUAUGUCAAAGCCACAGUCACAAGAGCAGUUUCAAUCAUAAGAUUAAUGAACACGAUAAAAAGGAUACUAUAUACAGUGCAAAUCCUGUGAUCCCAGACACUGGUGAAUAGGUAGCCAAGCUCAACAUAAACAACACAAAAAGGAAGAAGGGAUUGUUUGUUUAGGACUGAAUACAUUUGAAUGGCUGAAUCGGUCAGCCAUUAAAUGCGUUUGUUUUGGAAAAAAUCGUCUGAAUGACUGAAUCAGUCAUAUGAUUGAGAUGACAGCCGAAUAAAGUAAAAAAAAUUUAACUAUUAUAUUAAGUAAUACUAAAUAAAUUUACAACAACUUUAAAUUUUUUCAAAGUGGUAAAAUAAUAAAUUUAUGUCAUUUAGAUGUUUCAGACAUAUUAAUUAUCAUACAAUUUUUUUUAUUCAAAUUCAAAUUUUUUCAAUUUUUAUCAAACACUCCCUAAAUAUAGUCUACGGCCGGAGAUGCUCUAAGGAUUUGAACAUCCCUUAUCUAGAAUGACCUAAACGGCAUUAAAUUAAUUGUAAAUUUUAUGACAAGUGGACGGACAGAAGCGGCAACUCUUCACGUACGUUUCUAUUUGCUGCCACAUCUACCUCAAUCAAUUAACGUUUGAGAAUAUUCUAUCUAAGCUUGGAACUUAGCUUGUAGAAUAAUUAAGAAAUAAGGAUCCAUUCAAAUUUCAAAGCAUAGGAGGAUUCCAUCUGUCUUCUUGGGAAAUUUAUAUUUAGUUUUUUUUAAUUAAUUAUUUGUUUUUAUAUAUAUAUAUAUAUAUUAAUUAAGGUGUGAAAGCAAAUUAAUUAUUGAAAACAUUAUGUUCAAUUCUCUCCUUAUUAAACUUUAAUGUACGUACCCCCCCAAAAAAAGUAUUACGUAAAAAAAUAAGACCCUCUUUUAUAAGGACAGAUGGAGUAUAUAUAUAUAUUCUUAAUUUGUUUUAUUUUUACUUCUAUUCUAAAUAAAAAGUAUCAGUACCGCAGUACGUAUAAAAUUAGAUAUAGUUACUUUGCAUUUUCUCCCCGUCUCCAAACUAAUUUCCUCCUAUAUAUGUUUCCAUCCUUCCAACAACAUUAACAUCUUGCAAUUACCAGUUAUGGUUAUGGAAUCAUUCAUUCUAUCUUUGUCGUCGUCAAUCAACCAUGCAUGAUGCAUGCAUGAAUGAUUUCGUGAAAAAAGAUUCGAAUCUUGUCUCACUUGUUUGGAUUCUGAUCAGCAAAAAAACUGUGCAAGCAGCCUGUUUUUUUGUUUUGAUUAGCAGGGAAGGCAGUGUUUCCACAGCUUAUUAUUCGUGUCCGUCUUCUUUUGGCCCUUGAAAUCGUAAGUUUGAAUAAUUUGCAUAUAUAUAUAUAUAUAUAUUGCUAGGUCAAAUGUACUCCAAAGUACGGCCGCUAGCUAGCUAAUAGAAUUUUUGGGAUAUAUAUGAUUAUCUUUUCAAUAUAAAUAGAAGAUCCGCAAUUAAACAUACAUACAUUGUAAUUUUUGUGGUGAAACAGCAACAAUUAAUAAUGGCUCAUAAAUCAGCAUUAAUUUCAGUGGUUGUUCUGAGGUUAAUUUUUAGCACUCUCAUUAUUAGUUGCUUCCAUUGUUAAGUAUUAUGCAUGGUUACAAACUCAUUUAUAAGUGACGGUACCAAAACCAGUUUCAAAGAUGUACAUGGAUAUAGGUAAUGAAAUCACUAGGCCCGCCGGCCGCCAUGAUUUCUUCACUUAAUUUACAAUAUAUAUGUGAUAUUAAUGCAUGUUUUAAUUUAGUUCAAAUAUCAUGGUUAAUUACUUCUUGACAUAUAUUAAUGGCAUGCUGCAGAUAUGUUGUUUCCACUGCCAUUAUCGGGUUUAUAUACACCUUAAUCCAAAUACCGUUUGCAAUAUAUAUACUACGCUUCCAAAGAAAAUUAAAGAGGCUCAUCAAACACCAAUGUCUGUCCGAGUUUGAUUUCUAUGGUGACAAGGUAUUGAAAUAUUUCAAGAAUAUUAUUAUUUGUAUGAAGUAUAUAUAUUUAUUAAUUAGAUCAAAAAUUAGCAGUUAGCUAGGGUUCAUGAAAGGUUGAGAAUUAAUUUAGAAUACAAGAUAAAUACUAGCUAGUAACAGAUUAUAUAUAUGUGCAUGAGAUAAUAUAUGCAUGGCCUAGCUAAUAGUUUCCCUACAAAAUGGGUGCGCCUGCAAGAAUUACUUGUCCAUUGCUUAAUCUCCCAAUUCUUCUCAAUGUGGUAAUUGAUGAUUGCUGGUAGAGCACUUACCCAUUAUUACAUUGGGAGAAAUUGAGGAGCUUGAGCAAUAAUGGAGAGGUUCCUAGCUUCCACCCAACAAAGAUACCCGAUCGAUCACUUUAGAAAUUUUCAUACUAGUAUAUAGAGGUGUAGCACUUUUUUUCUCAAAAGGUGGAGAGUUUCGAAAAUACAUAUCCCUGUUUUAUAUAUUACUUAAUUCUAUUUUGAUUUCUUCUAUAAUCAUUGUUGUUAAUUUGGCUUUAAAAAACUAAUUAGUUUAAUCCUGCAGGUCCGAUAGAUAGUUACAAUAUUAUGAAAUGAAAACUACUCAAUUGCUCUUGUUGUGUUCGAAAACUCUAUAUGUUUAUGAAAUACUCAAACUAUGAUUUAAUUUGGAUAUCUUGCUAGGAGGAAAUAUGAAUCCACUUGAUACAACUUUCAUUGUUUGUCAUUUCAAGUUGCAUUGUCGUCUUAAAUUACAUUAAACGUAUCAAAUUUUUAGACCAAUUAAUUUUCUUCAUAAAAGGGGUAAAUGGAUACAUUACAUUUCAUCUUCCAAGCAAUAUAUAGAUCGAGGCCGUAUGUUGUCACAUUACAUGGUUUAAUCCACGAAGUCCUAAUUAAUCUCAUCCAUAUUAAUAUAUUUGUCCUGCAUUAAUUACAUUACCAUUUUUUACGAAGAUUGCUAUUUUCACGACGACUUUUUUUUAAAAAUUAUUACUUUCAAGUCCCUUGUUUUGGUGGGAUCCCAAAUUAAGUUUACAAAAUUGUCGUCAUUGUUUUUCUUUCUUUUUUGUUGUGCGUGCUACAGUAAUUGCUAAAUAAAAUUAAUAAGACAGCUUUACAACAACUAUAUAACGUCAAUAUUACAUUGUAUUUCCUGAAAAGCAUUUUAAUUAUAUAUGUUUGGCCGAAACAGAAACAUUAAUUUGAAGUGAAAUAAGUAAUUAAUUAAUGUAUAUUGCAUGCGGAUAAUUGCCUUCCUUCCUUUCGCCUACAUGGUGUUGGUGCUGGUUUUGCAAUUAGCUUUGAGUUCAAGAGACUACUUAAAGAUUUUAUCAAUGCCUUGACAUGCAGCAUUAGGAACGGGUGGGCUUUGAUUUAGAAAAAUCCAAGACUGAAAAGUUCCUUAAUCAGGCAAAUCUUGCGACCAGUUCUUAAUUAUGCCUUCAGAACAUAAUUAUAAUAAAUAAAAAUACAAUAUUAUUUUGCCGGCAUUCAUUUGGUUUAAUCUUAAUUCACUAGUUGAGACUUGAGAGAGAGACUGAGAGAGACCAUGGUUUGUCAAUUUCUUCUUGUUGUUUAUUUACGUAUACGAUCGAAUGCAGAAUUAAGCUCAGCAGCUAAUUAAGUGAUGUGAUGUUGAAAUGGACUAAGAGGCGAUACAUACGAGCAAGAUAAAUACUAGUAAUUUGUAUGUCUUUUGGGAAUAAGUAAUUGGAAACAGAGAGUCGACAUUCAAGGGAUUUUCUACCUUUACAACAAGUGUAGUAAUUUACAGAGAUAUAUCAGUACUGCAAGAAUCGUGAUUUAUGCAGUGUGAAUUUGUACUAUAGGUAUCAAAAUUUGUACAUUGAGCUGCCUUUUUUUUUUUUUUUUUUACUAAGGCUUUAUCUCACUCUCCCUCCGGUCAAUGCUGAAUGCUGCUGCUCAGCUCACAAGCUUUGAACUGAUGAAUAAAUUCACUAGAUAGCUCAUUUUACAAAGUGCCAACCGCAUUCAGCUGCACAGGAUGCUUAGAAAAAUAAUCAAUUCCAGGCAGGGACAGGGAUACAUAAACAUUGAACAUCCACAAGUAGAUGUAUAUUUCUUUUCAUAGCAGUCUCAUUUAACAUUGAUAUCCCCACUAAUAUCUGCGUGACCCAUGUACAGAGGUAUAUGCGAAUGGUGUUCAUGGGGUGCCUAAAACUACAAAAGAACGUUAAGUAGUAUCUGAAAACAGGGAGAGGGCUAGGGCUAGGGCUAGGGCUAGGGGGAGGACUAAGAACUUUACAGUCGGCCUUUGUUCGCUGAGAAAAUAGGAUAACCAAAUGGAAAUGAACUUUUCGAAUAUUACUUCUAACAUUAUCUUAAUUUUCGCAAAAUAAAAAUCACACCAGCCCAAUAGACAUAGAAAGCAUUCUGUAUUAGGCUUCCUGAUGUGAUUUUAUUUUUAUUUUAAACUUUUUCCAGAAUUCAAAUGAUUUGGGAGAUUCAAAAUUUUGAUUUCCAUCUUUUAUCCUGAAGUCCCAACGACCAAAGGAAGCACUAAUGUGUAAGAGAGAGGUGGUGGGAGAGAGACUGAGAGAGCAUCAGUGGAACAAUGGCAAUAUACUCCACUGAUGCAGAAAACCCUCUCCAGUGCUCACUUCAAGGAAAAGUAGAACAAGCACUGCCAACAUAGCUGCUCUUCCAUUCCAUGUUUCUGCACUUUUUGUCCAUCCCCAUUCCCAGACUGUCACAGGUGGUGGUAGCUCCCUACGCUGUGAAUCAUAUGCUGCCAAUAGUUCUUCUACGCUGCCUAGUGGAACAAGAGACUGCACAGCCCAACCUCAAAUUAGACCAAGUCAAUGAUAAAUUUAUAUUAAUUCACAAAUAUACUUUUAAUCACCAAGUUGCGCUUUGGUGCAAUAGUAACAAGGCAAAGUUCGUAUGAUACCUGUCGAGCUUCAAGAUUUGAGACUGCCAUUGCCCCUACAUAUGGAAGACUUUCUAUCACUGCAUCUGCCAGAUCCAAAAUGAAGGUAGGCUGACACCCUAGCGCAGGCACUCGUCCCCAUUUUUCUAUGCCAGAUUUCAGAGCCAACUCCUUGUACUCAACAUCGAUCUCCUCUAAAGUUUCAAUAUGUUCACUGACAAAGCUGAGAGUCAAUUGUACCAAAGAAACUUAAUUCAACCACACAGUACAAGUAACUAUGCCGAAGUAACAUGUCAUGGUAAUACAGGCCUCUGAAAGAGUAGAAGUAAUGAACUUGACAAGCAUGGUUCCAAUAAUGACCACUUGCCAGUAUUGAAUACCUAAUUGGGACAGCUAGAAGACUUUUAACUCCUCCCUUCCCAAGCUCAAUGAUUGUUUCAUCAGUAUAGGGUCUCAACCAUUCCACAGGUCCAACUCUACUCUGCGUCAGAAACAACCAACCCACCAACCGAGUGUGACUGUCAUAAUUGUUUAAGGUGCAUGAUAGACAAAGAUGUGACGCGAAAGAAAAGGGAAACAUAAAUUUGUCUUCAAAUAAAAGGAAAAACAAACAAAUGUAGAUAAUUGAUGGGAGACUUGAGAGGCAUUAUCAAUGGUUUGGUAGAAAAUGAAACAAUUGCAUAAAAAGUAAGAAAGUGAUUUCACUUAUUUGGAAAGAAAGCCUUUAAAUCCUCCACUUCCUUUCUUUUCUCCCCUUUAAAACUCAAACAUAGUGUUAGUGCCGCCUUACAUCACUAGGCUACAUAAAAAUGACAAUUCAUGAAGUAAUGUGUCACUGAAGGUGGAUAAUCACUUUUUUCAUGUAUACGUGAUUCAGCAAUCACUAUGAAAUCACCUUUAAGGUAUUUGCCUAUAUAAUCAAGCCCCAANNNNNNNNNNNNNNNNNNNNNNNNNNNNNNNNNNNNNNNNNNNNNNNNNNNNNNNNNNNNNNNNNNNNNNNNNNNNNNNNNNNNNNNNNNNNNNNNNNNNUCUGUUAUUAUUUUCUAGAUUUAAUUUUCUUUUCCUUUCCUUUCCCUUGCAUUCUGAGUUCCAAACAUAACCCGGGUAUUUCAGCUUCCGCUAUAGCAUAUUAAUCCAAAUUUUAUGCCCUUCAAUUCCUUCAGUUUAAGUUUAUACUAUCAAUGUGCAACUUCUUUUGUAGUUGGUCAAUUAGUAGCUUUAAAUCAAUAUAGACACAUACAAGCAUGAAAUACCUGAUAAGCAAGAGUAUAUGGAUUAGUAAACCCUCGCUUUUCUAGUUCUUCCAUAACCAAAUCUACACAUUCCUCCAUCUCAGCCUUGUAUGGGUCACCAGCUUCUUCCACGUAGGCAAGUGGCACCCCAUGAGCACUAAAAAAUAUCAUCACCUAUAAGGUUUGUUCCAUUAAACUUGUUUACAAUGAAUCUAGUUAAUAUUUGAAGCAUUCAUAAGGAUCAAUUAAUAAGAUAUUCUAGGUAGCAAAAUGGGGAGGGGAGGGGAGGGGGGGGGGGAACAAAUAACAUAUUAUCAAAACAGUUCUUAAGUAUCGUACACAACUUACACAAGUUCUUGACCAUGCUUUACUCUAAAAGUAUUAAGCAUUUAUUAAUUUUGCUUGUUUUCACAGGUAAGCAAGUUCUCAAUCUUAUAAAAUCUGUGCAAUCCAUUAGACAAUCUUUUUCAAGAAGCCUCAUAUUCUCUAAUCUCUAUAUUCUGGCUCUCAAAAAGUCCCUUGAACUUGAAGAAUAGAUGAUGUUCUUAAAGAAAUUGUAGAUCGCACAGUUCUCAGUUCUCACUAGAAGUAAACAUUGUAUGGUACAGAUUGUGUUCCGGACAAUCUAACUUCUAAUUAGUUGUCAAGGCGUCGCCUACGGCAAGGUGACGCCUAGGACGCCAUGCUGCCAAGGCUGCCCAAGUUAAGAGAUUAAGAUAUUUUUGCCCAUGACUCAUCAUAACCCAUGGACUUGCUAUGUAGUGUUAUUUUAUUACUUAUUAGACUGUGUGAUAGUUGAUGAUUUGGUUUGAUUCUUUAUUUUUUACGCGGUGUUUGUUGACUUAUUAUAUUAGUUUUUGAUAUCAAAUAUUUUACUUUUGAAUUUUGAUUGUGAAGUAUUCAUAUAAUUAUGUUUUUAAUUGUAUUUUAUAUUGUUAGUUAUUUUGUUUUUGGAUUUUAAUGUAUAUAAAAUUUUAUUGUUCAAUAUACUUGAUGAGUGGGUAAUAUACCCAUUCAUUAAGUAUUUUUAGACAUAAUAUUUUGUUUGUUUUUAAGCAUUUUAGGACAUUUUAUUUGUUUAGUAUGUAUGUUGUAGGUUAAUGCAGCUGAAAGGGCAAAUCUAACAAGUUUGGGCAAAGCAGUGGCAGUUUCGUAAAUAAGUGGAAGUUGAAUGUUGGGGCAUUCAUUUUGUGAAGGAUUUGAAUGUUGGGGUAUUGGGAGUCAAAAAGAGUGGUGGCAGUUUCGUAAAUAAGUGGAAGUUGAAUGCUGGGACAUUUAUUUUGUGAAGGAUUUGAAUGCUGGGGCAUUGGGAGGCAGGAAGUGGACGAAAUUUCUUUCCGAUUGAAACAAGGAUUUGUGAUUUCUACUAGAUUUUGGAGACGUUAAGCCUAAUUGUGAUGAGAGUUGUAAGGCAAAAUUCUAAUCAGAAUUGGAUUCUAUGAGAAGUUGACUUGGAGAAGACUUAUAUCUAUAAAAGGAAAGGAAACUAAUUUCUAUUUUGAAUAGGAUUCUGCUAAGGGGCUGACUUUGAAGAGACUUAAAGCUAUAAAUAGAUUGGGAGACUAAGAUACAAGAGAAUAGAGAGAUACUCCAUUAGAUUUAGGAUUCAAAACCCUAGUUUGAUAUUCAGAUUUGGAGAUUUGAAGCAAUUGGCUAGCACGAAGGAUUCAGGGUAGGUCUAUAGAUUCUAUUCUCUUCCUUAUCUUUUACUUUGUAUUUUGAAUGCGGAUUAUGGAUUUUAAUUCAAUCAUGAACUAAUUUCUAUUUGAAAUUACAAUGGAUCUUAUUGCGUAGCUUUUAUUGAUAUACUUCCUUGUUAGUUUUGUUAAUUAUUAUGGGAUUGUCUAUUAUGAUUUGUGCAUAAUUGUUUAAUUGUUUGAUCAACAAUUACCGUGAUAAUUUAUAUGAAUUCGAGAGAUGAAGUAUAGAUUUAGAUUUGAUCAUAAAUUCAUAAUAGCAUGUGAUUGUAUUUUCUGCAUGACGAUGAAAUUCAUGAUUUGUGUUUAGGAUAAGGAUAUACAUUACGCUGUAUGUAAUCUGAUAGGGAACUUGUGCUUUAAAUCCUUUUUAAUUGCAAUGCACAUAGGAAUAUAGUGAAUUAAUUAACUAGGGUGUUCACCUUAAUUCUAUCUUCUGUGGAUUUAAGUUGAUUUGUUUAUGAUAUAUUGGGAGAUGGUCAUAAAUAUUGAAGUGUUCUUGAUUAACAAUUCAGAAUAGUUAGCUUAAUUUAACAGCAAGUGUAUUGGUCUAAGUGAAAUUGUAAUCUUAAGUCUUCAUUACCUGGUUUUAAUAUAGUGAUAUUUAGAAUUAGUUUAAUUAACUAUUUUAAUUUCAUAAAUUCACAAUCUUAAAUCAAUUGUUUAAAUAAAAUUAAUUUGGUUAAGGGUUAAUACUUGGUAAUUUUUAUUAAAUAAUUCCUCGUGGGAACGAUACUUUUCUUAUCACUUUAUUACUGGUUGACCGUGUAUACUUGCACCUAAUUGUUGAUUGUGAAAUAGGAUAACAAUAAUUUUGAAGUAAAAUAAAUAAUGUAUAAAUUACAUAUUGCUAACGAUUUGUCGUCAUACGGGCAUCAUGGCAGGCGCCUUAUCGUUUAGGCGUCCUGGCAUGCAACUAAUAUUGUGUCUCAUCAUGAAGCCAUAGCAAUAUUAAAGAAAGCGACUGGAAUAAACCUAACUAAGAAGUUAGAAUUAAUUAGAGUUGAAGCCUCAACUAUGUCGAGGAACCAAUAAGAGUGGGAAUACACUAUGACCAAAUUCCCAGAACAUCUAAUUAUGUGCAAUUUUAGAGUCUCAUAAUAUUUAGAAGGAAAAAGAGCAAAUAAAUGCAAUUUUCUUAAUAUAACAAGCAUAACAUGAUAUUUGCAUGAAAAAUAGUACCUUUUCAGGACGAUCAAAAUUUCCCAACUCCUUUUCAAUCAAAUCUCCCAUGGCUUUUAUAUAUCCUUCACGCUGAUACCAGGAAGGUAUCACUGUGUGCUGCAUAUUUACUAGAUAUUCAUCCUCCCUAAGAAUUCAAUAUUUUCAGAAUUUAUUAGCUUUGGGGUUGUAAUUCUGUGAAUGCAUAAUGUAAAAGUGACCUGUUCAUCACCGAAAUAUACUCUCCAAUAGCCGAAGGCUUGAUCCACUGGUAGAUAUUGAGAACUGUGGAUAUAGAGGAAGCACAACAAGCUUCGCAAUUCCGUCCUUUUUAAUCUGCAUAGAUGGAAAUUUUAAAUGAUAAUGAAAUCAACAGCAAGUCGUGGUAGCAGAGAGUUUGCUUAUAAUUUCAAGCUGCGGAGUUGUGCAAGUACCAACCAACCAAAAGAUCAAUGGUUACAUAACAAAAUAUGUUAUACAGAUAAUUUCUAUAUUAAAAAAUCAAACAGAAAGAAAGUAGUUUUGCAUAACCAGCUAGAAUCAUCAUUCACUCAAAUGUAGAACAAGAGGAUUGUUAUUCAAAAUAACAGAUUAGACAACCAACACUAUUAAGUCAGUUAAGUGUGAGUCAAGUGAUAUGUUUAAACAAAUUUUGAUAUUACAUAUGCAUCAUGGAUUAGAAAAUAAGGGGAAGAAAGGAUGGCCAAUCUCAAAAAUACUAAUAGGCUUUGCUCAAAAUAGAUCAGGUUUUAUGCAAGAAAAAAUAAAUAAAAUAUACUCCCUCCUAUCCAAAAUAAAUGACGUUUUAGAGUUAAACACACUUAUUAAGAAAUAACACAAAAUGUCUUUUGUAUCCCUAAUUAAUUAUUUCUCUCUCCACAAUUUUCUCUUCUCAUUCUCUGCAUAGUUAUUCCCUUUUAAUUAUUUCCAUUAUUCUCCCCAUUAUUACAUUCCCUUCGACGUUCCUUCCUCAUCAUAAUAAAACUUGUUCAAAUCAAAGUCACGUUCGGAACUUACUGCAGAAUUUGGUGGAGCAUUUUCUUGCUUCCCAACUUGGUGGAGUGUAGAGUUAGAAGUGGGAUGGAGAGGUUUUUGGUUGUCCAUAUUUUUUGUAUGCUUAUGUUCAGUUUUACAUCAACGUAUUUAAAUGAAUAAAAAAGGUAAUGGUCAAAGAUGAAGGCAAUUAAUGGGUUAUUGAAACUUUGGUUGUAUAUGUGGUAAAAUGGUUCAUGGAAUUGCAUUUACUAAGCAUAUUAAAUAGAGGGGUAAAUUAGGAAAAAAUAGUGCAAUAUUACAUAGAAAUUCCAAAACGACACUUAUAUAGAAUAAAAUUAAAGUCCCUAAAACGUCAUUUAUUUAGGAUAGGAGGGAAUAUAUAUAUAUACACACGUAAUAUUUGUCAAGUCUUUUUGAAAACUUUAUUAAUUUUCUUAUCUUUUUCUAUUUUACAUAUAGAAGAACGUUUGCUCAAAAUAGCAAAAGAAAAAAGUCAAAGUUAAAAGGCUACUUUAAAAAGUGUUUUCAAAUGGAAUCUAACUUACUUCCGAGAUAAAUUAGUAUCAAAAUAGUAACAACCCUAUACUCUUUUAUUUUUUUACUUUUUAUACAUGAUAUGUUUUCUCUUUAUGUUUAUUUGGCUACUCUUUUGAAAUUUAUAUAAUGUUCUCUUUUUAUAAGUACCAAGAAAUCUCCUGUUAAUCAGCAGAAACAAUUUGGGUGAUGACACUAACACUACCUAGCGAAAUCAAAAAGAUAACUAGCUUCUAUUUUGACUUGAGAAUCAUCCAGUUACGGGAAACAGAAUCAAAAAAAGGUUGUAGCUAAAUUUUAUACUAAUAUCAGCAACAAUGGAACAAAAUUAUAUAGUUCAGGAACCUGUUCAAUAGCUUCCUCAGUGAAUGGAUGCCAAUAACGCAUACCGACAUACACCUUUGCUGGAACAUCCUUUGCGCAGAGUGCCUUUCUCAACUCUUCAGCCUGAAUAAAGAAAAUAUCACUUGAUAAAAGGACAACAUAUGCAUACCAAGGCCUAUGAAUUGAAAGAAGACCAUUCUUCACGGCAAAACUUGUAAAAGCCUAAUAUGUCUCAGAUCACAGUAUAGACUCCCCAAAUAAGCCAUUUAACAUUAUUGUAAUUCUUGUGCAAUUAGAUUGUUACAAACAAAAUUCCACACUGCACUCUUUAGCCUCUAAAUGAAAAAUGAAUAAAAUAAUGAAACUACUCCAACAACCUUUCUCUUUUCAUUUUAUUAUACAGGACAAUUUAUUAUUUCGAUGUUAUCUGGAAGAUGUCUCUGACUAACAUAAGGAGAAAAAAAUAAACUGAAAAACAGGGAACGAGUAUAUCAAAAUGUUAAGAAGAGAAGAAAGUUUACAUGUCAAAAGCGAUAAAGACAUAUUACACGAACAUAUUACAUGUAUUGUUUGUCACUUGUAGCAAUCAUAAAAGGGGGAGUAAAAGGCUUUGAUCGUUUUAUGAACCUUGACCAAUUCUUAUUUAGAGCUAAAGGGUAGUAAAUGUUGUUCUACAUCAUAGGUAGAAUCAGGGCUUAAGGUUUAUUUGAGCAUAAGUGAGCUUAUUCUUCAAGGAGGAUAUAUAGGAAUUGCUCAUGACCUAACUUGGGGCGUCCUUUGGGUGCCUGUUGAAAAGGCAAAAGAUUUACUUUAGUAAGGAGCAUUCUCACUAGGCUGACUGUCAAUAUUAUGUCUCUCUACCUAUACCUAGUUUAACUGUGAAGGAAUUAAUAACAAGGAUAGAUAUGGAAACAAGGACACAGCCAAACAAAAAGUAUUAUAAAUACCAAAGGAACCGAAGAUGUUUGGAGCUCUAUAUAACAUGUACCUAAACACACAUUCUGGAUUGUAUUUUAUUUGUUUGUUCCUUCUUUUUUUCAUUUUGUUGAAAGAACCCAAUAAUAUAUAUAUAUAUAUGUACAUGUAUAUGUAUAUAUAUGUACAUGUACAUGUAUAUAUAUGUACAUGUACAUGUAUAGACCUGGACUCUCAUCACAUUUGAUUACUAUUUCUUAAUUCAGCUUUCAUGAUUUCACAUUCCAAUAUUUUCAGAGCAAUAGUCUUGUGAAAUAUACAUGCAUUAAGGUUCAAUAAAAUCUAACAGCAUAUUAAGAUAUUUGAAUUAUUAGCUGCAAGACAUAUUAUUAAAAAAACAUGCCUGCGCAUCUGUUAUCUUUCGAAGAGGAGAACCGCCCCCAAUUGAAGCAUAGCCUUCCUUGCUCUUCGGGGCUCUGGCAAUAGAUAUAAAUUGUGCCAAAGGCUUUUGAAGAAAACGAAACAAUCUUGGCAAUCGAAUAAUAUCCUGUUCAAAUAUAACAACUCAAACAAAAACAUACAAAACACUACAAAGAACUAAAGUUUGAUGUAAGUAACAAAUCAUGAUUGGGAAGAAACCUAUAAGCCUUAAUUGAAGAUUGUCUUAGUUGUUAAACGAAUGCUCACACACAUAUGUAAGCACAAGCUACAAGGUGACAUUUAACAGGUACAAGUCCUCUAGCCAACGCAUAUAGCGUCCAGAAGUGUGCCUCCUUAUACUUAAUAUUUAUCACUUACAUGCUGGAUGUUUUACUUAUGAGCCAUUAAGUUAGCUAUUCUAAAUGUCAUCAGGCUUCUACAACACAUCUGAGGGAAGCAAUUGGUCAUUUGCACUAUGAAAAAGAUGGGGUGAAUGAGGAAAAAGAAAAGAAGGUAAUGAACAAAGAAUCUUAAAAUUAGAUAGAUUACUUCCUCUCUCUUCUAUGCCUUAGAAUUCUUACCUUAAUAUGUUUUGCCAACUCCAUGCCACCCUCUUCUAUUUUGUAUAUUGUUUGAAAAUUCUCUUCAACAGAUAAGUAUUCUUCUUCCUUUUCUUUCUUCUAAUAUGUUAUUCCAACUCUCUCUCUCUCUCACACACACACAUGCACACAUAAAUCUCCCAUUUUCCCCCGUUUCUUUUACUUGUUCGAGAAAGAGCCUUCCUCCUUCCUUCCCUCCUUCAUUUUUACUUUUCAGUUUUCUCUCUUCUGCUUCUUCUUCCUUCUUAAUCUUUCUCGGCUUCUUUGUUCUAUUAUGCUCCUCUUCUUCACAAACCUUAUCUUAUAUAUAAUGUUCCUCUUAUUCGCAUGUUUCCAUAUAUUUAAAAUUUCCUCAGCAAAUGGCAAUUCAAUUCAUGCAUUUUAAUUGCUGUAUUUUUCUUCUUUUUUUUUUGAGUAUGCUGAAAUCAUGCCCUCAACUUUGGCUGACAAAAUCAGACCUCUCACUGAAGCAUUAACUCAUAAGACCAAAAGAUUAAAAUCGUACAUUAGAGAACCUUUCCUUCAAUAUUACAGAAGCUACAGCACUACAUGGCGAAAAUUGAGUCACAUUAAAAACAUAUUAAGUGCCAGACACCUAUUAUAGAAUCAACAAGAGGCAAUGAAUGAAUACAAUAAAGAAGUAUCGGCAUCUUCAUUCCAUUAUGCAUUCAAUAACACAAGAAAGAGCAAUUUACCGGGUCAGCAAAAAGGUUAAACAAAAAUGGUUGCACGUCUUCAAGAGUCUCUGGACCUCCGAGGUUCAACAACAGUACUCCUAUUUUUCCAUCAUCAAGAAGAGGUGAAGUGGAUGUGGAUUUAUUUUGAGAAGUCAAUAUUGCCCCCAAUGGCAAUGAGGACUUGCUGAGUGGUUGCUUUAAAGAUAAAAAUUGUGUUCCGGACCAUCCCAAGGGGUAUCUGGGAACUAGAAAAGUUUUUGAGGAGUUAAUAGUAUUAACAAAAGGUUCCAUUUUAAUCCCAGAGCAAUGGGAUAUCAUUUGAGAAGAGCACAUUUUCCGCGGCAAUAACCUGUGAGAUAACAGACAUACAUUAAAUUCCAUUCACUGUAUCACACACAAAAUACACAACCAUGUUAUUCAAACAAUAUUCCUCGCAUAAGGUCUAUUCAUGGAAUAUUGAUGAAACAAUAUUCAUCUAUCCAUCUAUUCUGUUAUUUAAAGAGAAUAUGCAAGUCAGGUAUCCAAUCUUCUCUCUUAAGAAAUUAGUUAUGAUCACAAAAUAUUGGCACAAGGUCUAAACAACAUGACAUAUGUGAGUAAUUUCAGAAAUAGUAAUGCAUAACUACCAUUUGGAAUCUAAUCACAUGAUAUAUCAUGUGAUUAAUUUACGGAAGUAGUUAGACAUAACUACCAUUUGGGGUCUGUUUGCUAACAGAAACAAUGGCAAAAAUACAAAGUACAAAGCUAAAGACCACUAACAUACUACACAAGGAAACAUUUUUUUCUCCCAACAGAUAUUUAGUACCAUAAAUUAAAUAUCACAAUACAAAAAUUGAAAAAAUAUAUCAUAGGUAAAAUUUUGGAUAAUAUAACCCCUCCAAAUCUUCACUAGGAAAUCCGAUAACGUUUCAAUCCCCAUAGCAUAAUUGGCUAAGCAACUUCAUUACUGAAACCUAAUUCAACUCCAUUCCGUAAACUUAAAUUUCCAAAUUUGUAAAAUCAGUUUUUAGGUUCGCGAGCUGAAGUCGUAAUGCUAUAGGUAGCAAACAGUUGUGGUUGAAUUUGUAAGCGUGAAAUCAUAAGUUUAGAUUACUACUCUACUCCUGCUCAAAAGGACAAUAAAUUGAAAGCAAAGUUUAAACAUAGAAUAAGGUGGCUAGCUGUAGGGAAACAAACAAAGAGGAGAGAGAAUUACUCACAAAUCCAUUUGGGUGGGACUGACUGGCUGACUGCAGAACAAAACGAUGUUGAGAUUUUGGAGUUGUCACUGUAGCCUUCUUUUCUUCUUCUUCUUCUUCUUCUUCUUCUGUGUUUUUCGGAGCUUGCGUUCUGUGAUUUAGCUAACACUGUGACCUAAAAAGAUGGAAGAUAAUGUUUGGCAUUUUGGUUGUUGCACGAAAAUCCGACAAUCUUUCGGUUGUGGUAUUUAUUUCGGCCCCAAUUUAUUCUUUUGAGAAAAAUAUACUCCAUUCGCCCAUAAAAAAGUCUCAGAUUUUAAAAUUUUAUUUUGUGUCGUUCGUUGGCCAAUUUUUUUAGAAUUUUGAAAAUAACAAAUUUAUAAUAAUAAUAAUAAUAAUAAUAAUAAUAUUUGUAAUAACAUUCUUAUCUCUAUUAUUAAAGCGCUUGUAUGUCAGGUGUUAAUAUUGAUUAUGAUUAAUGAGUUUGUGAUAAUUUUAAAUUCAAAAAUAUUAGAAAUUAUUUGUGAAAAAAAAACUUUUAUUUUCUUGAAAAAGAAAAUAAAAGGUUUUCUUUUAUUUUUUUCCUUUGAGAAAUUUCAGUCUUGUAUGUAUUUAAAAAAAUUUCGAUCAAUUCAUAAUUCACAAGUAUAAAUGGACAGGAAUUUAUGUUUUUUUGUCCUUGAGUAUGUAAUGAAUAAUAUAUAAUAAUAUUAUAAUUUAUGUUAAACUAAUCUCUACUUUAUCUGUAUUUAUUUUUAUAUUUAUUUCACGUAUUAAUUAUCAUGUAAAGAGAAAUAAUUUUUUUAUCAAAUAUUCAAGGUUCACUAGUUCAAAUUUAUUCAAACAUACAUAUUUAAAAUUGUAAAUGAUAUUUUUAUUUCAAUUUUUUUAUUUAUUCUCCAAUGUAAAAUAAAAUUCAUCACUUUAAUUUUGUAAUAGAGUCCAAAUAAUAAUAAAAAAUUGUAACGUAUUUAUCAUUUUAAUUCAACAUAAGAAUAAUACCCGACAAUAGAAAACCCAAACCAUUUGUAUCUUUUGCUAUGCCAAGCCCCAACAAUUUCAGCCCAUAUUUCAAAAUAAUUCCAUUUAGUGCGGGUGCAAACAAUACAGGCAGUUUCCAUUUGGGCUUUAACAUAGUUUGAUUAAAUAUUGGACUUUCUUAGAUUGUUAUAUAUAGCCCCAUUUGUUUUUGUUUUUUUUUAACUACUUCUAACUUUUAGUUCUAAAAAACUACACGACUAAUGUUUGUUUCAACUUUUGGCUACAAAAGCCAAAAGACUAGUACAAACCCCUCCCCNNNNNNNNNNNNNNNNNNNNNNNNNNNNNNNNNNNNNNNNNNNNNNNNNNNNNNNNNNNNNNNNNNNNNNNNNNNNNNNNNNNNNNNNNNNNNNNNNNNNCCCCCCCCAAAGCAUAAAAAAGCACUAGGAAUAUUAUUAUUGGGUAAAAGGUCAAUUGUUUAGUAAGAAUGUCUUGAACUUUUCUUGACAUGAUGUGAGUUACUGCAAAAGAAGUUAUAUUCCUUCCAUUCCAAAAUUAAUUAUGCAUUUUGGAUCGAUUGAAUCAAUUUCUGAAAUUUAAUAAUUUAGAAUCAAUUCAUUUAAGUUUUGAAAGAAGCAUAAAAUAAUUAGUACAAUUUUUUAGUUAAUUUUCAAGAGUGUUGCUAAGGUGACAAAAAAAAAGGUUUACAAAAAUUAGAUUAUAAACCGGUGUGACAGAGUAUAAUUAGUGGAUAAUCCACCAUGCAUAUGUGGGCUUAGGGAUAACAACCAGCCACAUAAUUUUAUAAGCAACUUUUUGUAAUAUUCUUUUGUCAUCAAAGUACUAUUGAAUUUACAAUAAUUUGUACAGAAACUAAAAAAAUAAAAAUUCAUGCAUAUUAAUUUUUAAAUUUUAGAAUUUUGCUACUUAAGACUUGAAAAAAAUGUACCGGUAAUUUGGAAGGGGGCGGGAAGUAGUAGAUUAUAAUAAUUUCUUUAAGAUCGAGCCGUUGAUAUUUGUAUUAAAACGUACUCCAAAGAAUUCAGCAGCCCUCUGGCCACAAUUAAUUGGUGUGUAUAUAUAUAUAUAUAUAUAUAUAUAUAUAUAUAUAGGUGUUAGGAAUAUAUAUGGGGAAAUUAAGAUGGUAAUUUGUUCCCGUUACAAAAUGCCAAAUAAUGAUCCUACAUGGUGGCCCGACUUUUUCAUUAACUGCAUGGCCUCAGUGCCUUACCGAAUGAAUGAAUAAUUAAUAAUACAAGCUAGCUAGCUAGCGUACCAAACCGAAUAUUUGUAGGCAAAAACAAUUACUAAAAGCUAAGUGGUUCCUUAGUCUACACUUUUAUUAUUAUAGAGGUGUGGUAGAUAAUUAAUUAUUAGUUAUUUUUUCGAUCCCAACAUUACAUGUGAUGAACAUAUAAUUCAACACCAACUUUUCGAGGUCUUUCUAUAACUUUAUUUCUUCUUGCAUUCUUUCUCCCAAUAUAUAUUUAAGAAAUUGAUUCUCUCUUGGCACCUAUAUAUAAAGAUUUGGCCAUACAUAUCCACUUUUUCCCUUACUAACUUUUUAACUAUCUAUCAUCUGUUCUGACCAUGCGGUUGGCCAAACCCAAAGAAUUAAACAGUGCUUUGGCUUACAUCGGCAUGAAAAUAUAUGAUAAAAGGUGGUAGAGAGAGAGAGAUGCAUAUAUCCAACCCCGUCCUCCUAAGCGAGUACCACUACUAAUUUUAUUAGGGUUUGUCACAUGACAUGAUCAAUGUACGUACGUAAUAUUUCAAUUUCACAUCCAAAUAUGUGGGUGUAUAUAAAUCUUAAUUUUAUUUUAUUUAUGAGAUGCUUUGUGGUCUAGCUAGUAGUCUAAUAUGACAUGACUGAUACUCUUUUGAAUAGAUGAAAUAUAUUCUAAAUUCGGUGUUAGAUCGACUAGAGUUGUUAAAAUUAAAUCCAUCCAAUUCUUUUGAAUUCAUGUUGUGAAUUCCACAACUAAAAGUUAUGAUUUUAUUAUAAAAAAUUAAACUAGCAAUUCUUUAAUUUUAUCCGAAACGGUACUAGUGGGUAGUCUGAGUCUCUCUCGAUCGAUCAUCCACUGGAGGCAAAGGUGUCAAAUGGGUGCACGUGGUCCCAAAGAAAAUGGAAAGCCCAGCAGCAGAUGGAGCCCCAUGGUCCUAGCUCUCUGUUGGCUUUUUGAUUUGGUUUGAAUUGUGUUUCGAAAUUAAUAUCUAUCAGUACUCCUUUUUUAUUUCACUUUACUUGCUUGGUUAACCAUUUAGUACGUACGAGUUUUAAUUUACACUUGUAAGGGUCAUAAAAACUGGGAGUGUUGUAUUGUGUUUGUUUCUCUAAAUAAAUGAAAGGGGAACAGUGUCAGCUACUGGCUGCUGACGCUGGGCCUGUGGUUCGCUCCCUCUCCUGAUUCUGAUGAUGGAAAAGUGAAGAGUGUGUGUGUGUGUUUAUUUUGUUUUGGUGUGUGUUGUUUUUUUCCAUUGAGAGGGACGAGUGCCUGCCUUUUAACCAUUCAACUGUGGCACUGAAAAUCAUGGCGUUUUAAUUAUAAGCAUUCAUAAGGAUCAGAUAUAUAUGUAUUGCAAUGACAAAUAUCCAUCUCUUACUUUCUCUCUCCUCCCCUCUCCCUUUAUUUACCUAUCCUUAUAAUGAUACAUGAUAGUCUCUGUACAUAGAAUUAAGAUAGGAAACUUUUAGUAUUUUUAAAUAAAAACGGUAGUUUGAGUAUACAGUGGGUUUUAUGUAAUAAUAUUAAAAAUAUAUGUUAAAAUAUAAAAUAAACAAGAAUAUGUGUUUUAGAUGUACAUAAAUUUCUCCAUGACUUGAUACAACUUAAUUUAAAUAGAUAAAAAUAUGAAAUAUCAAAAAAAAAAUUAAUUAAAAAGGUGAAAUGCUAUUAUACAAAUGAAAUUAAUCUCUUAAACUAUAGGACACAGAAGCUUGUUUACUCGAACACAUAUUCCUUAUAUAUAUAUAUAUAUAUAUAAAGAAUAAUGACCAUACACACAGCUGCUGUGUAUGUUUUAUUUAUUCACAAUCUAUUAAAACUAUUUCGUUUUGACAUAUUUGUUUUUGAUUUCUCAUUUAAAUGGAGGGAAAACUGUAUUUUUUUUAAAAAAUAAAUCUGUUAGAACGACGUAGUUUUGACAUACAAUACACAAAUAAAACAUACACAGUUGUGUAUAGUCAUAUUACCGGUAUUCUGGUCCUGAAUUAUUACAACACCUCUUUUAUAGAUCUCCAACUAAAAAGCUACUACUCCUAGGAGAAAAAAACCUAACUAUUUGAGGACAAUUCAAUAGUGUUAGUUACUGCAUGUAUAUUCAUAUAUAUUAAUUAUCACGUGUUUGCAUAUCUAAAUUAAGUUUGUGAACGUACGUUCUUCCCAAUAAUAUCUAAGUUUGAUUUCUUGUUAUUAAUUAAGUUUCGUGCAAUUAUAAAUUUUUUGAAGCAACUUUCAAUACAACAUUUCAGUACAUAUAUAUUUAGCAGGGAAAACUUGUUUCAAAAUGUAAGAUUUUUUCACAAAAAAAAAAUUAUAUUAACACUAGUUCUUGAAUAUGACAAUAAUGUUACUUUUGAUAACAACAGAUUCAAAUUGAAAUUCGGCAAAUUUAAUAUACAGAAAUAUCAUUACAAUUGAGAUUUUGAAAAUUAUGGAAGCUAGAAAUUUCUCCUUUUCAUUUUAUUGGUAAAAUUAACCUAAAUUUUAUUUGAAAUAUUGGAAGCUGGCCAGGGUCAAGUAAAAGAAAGGAAAAGGAAAAUUAUUAGGCAGGGCCCGAACCCCCAUACUCCGAAUCGUUUAAACACACUGCAACUGCAUGGUAGUAUUAUUUCAUAUCACAUGAGUACUGUUCCAUACGACAUAAUUACGCCUUCACUUUAAUCAUAUGUAUGAGUACGUACUGCAGAAGAUUUCAAGCUCUACACUUAUUUUCUUUAGCAACAAUAUAUGUAAUGACAAAUAUAUAUAUAUAUAGAGAGAGAGAGAGAGAAAGAGAGAGAAUAAACAAUACCUGUUAGUGAAAAAUGAGUUUCAUAGUUGAUAUCCUCUUUUUGUUUCUUUUGUUUGGAAAAAGGAAAGAAAUUACCAGUUUGAUGUUAGAAAACUGUUGAUCAGAAUCUUACUGAUCAUGACAACGAUAAAAACCAAACCUUAACCCAUGGCCAUAUUUCCAUUAGCCAAAAAAUGUAACAAAAUUAAAAAAAGAAAUUAUAACGUGCAUUCCAACAAUCAGCAAUUAGCAAAAUAACUAAAAUCCCAGAUUAUAUAUAUAGCUUUCAUAGGCAAGGGAUUAUACAUACACAUAUAAACAAAAAGAUUCAGAAUGAGAGAUUUUUUUUUUCUUUAUUUAAUUAGAACAUAAUAUCAUGAUAAUUAAAAGCUUUUUUAAGUAAUAGUGUAAUACGUACUACUAGUCUCCUUCGCCUUGUGUAAUAGCUGAUGACAUAUAACUCAUGGCAAGGGAAGCCUCAAGAUCAGCAACAUUAGGAGCUGCUGCAUGAAAAUGUUGCUUGCAGGCAUGGCAAGUGAUUUCAAGCAUGGUGGAGCUCAUCUUCUUUGUAGCUUGUUCCUUUAGAAUCUGAGCCUUCUCAAGCUCAGCCUGUGCUUGUUGCCUAAUUCUUUUUGCAUUAGCAAGCUCCAUUUCCGCCAUUUCAAUCUGUCUCUUCCCUUGUUGUCGUGCUUCUUCUGCAUACGCCUUCUCAGCCAUAGCCAUCUUUAGCAGCUUCUCAUUUGCGUCAAUCUCAUUCGUUUCGUUUCUGUUACUGCAUGAGGAUGUCCCAAUGGAGAGCCUCAAAUGGGUUGCAUGAUUUUCGUUGCGGUUGUGUAAUGAAUAUGUUGUGUUUGAUGAUGAUGGUAAUAGUUGAAGCUCUAAGUUGUGUUGUUGCUGAUGCUGAUGAUGAUGAUGAUUAGUUGGGGAAUUUAUAUUAUAGCGCUCGGAUCGUGUAAAAAGUAGUGGCUGAUGAUCAAGAGCAAUAGUAGUUUUAGGCAUUGAGAAUGAUCUUGGCAAUGGGGCCAUAGUACUGAAGUUGGUAUCACUAGAAGGGCUGGUGCUGGAAGCUGUACGAGACGAGCAGGUCGGCUGCUGUUGCUGCAACCUUGCCUGUAAGUGAUCAGGUCGAACUUGCCGGAUAGUGCAAGCAUCUUGGUGCUCAAUGAAACUCUCAACUCUGAAAGAAUUAAACAGAAAAAAAAGUAUAUACACAAUGAAUUAUUCAAAGCUUGAAUUUAACAUGUCAAUAGAUUAUUAUGGUGAUAUAGCUAGCUAGCUCAUAUAUAUGGAUUGAUGAUCUAUGUUGUCUUUAAUGAUGAAGAUGGAGUAGUAGUAUGUUAGUACGUAGUAGCAAGCAACUUAACUUAGUCAAGAAAUCAAUCAAAAGAUAUAACUAAAUAAAAUAUUAGUAUAGAUCAAGGUGGGAUUCGGAUUAUGACUUGGUUAAUUUAUUAUAAUAUACUACUAUUAACAAAUAACCCAACAAAAUCUAGCUAACCAAUUAAAGUAAAGCGUUGAGUUUGUAUGUAUUUUAGGUAAUUAAUAUGGGAUAUAGGAUAUGGUGGAUUGGUGGGCAUACCCUCUUCAUUGACUGUUGUAAAUUAAUCAUAUAGAAUGAGGUCAUGUUAGUACUAGUAUUGGAAUCUGUUCUUGGGUUUAUUUGAAGAUAAUACAAGGAUCAUCAGAAACUCGAGAAAGUAGAAAAAAUUAAAUGCCAAAAAUAUACUUAUAUAUGUUACUAGUUUUUAUAAUUGGCCAGAUACUUUGGGUUUUAGUGAAUGUGUUUAAAUUUUUGUGAGAUAGAAUCAAUUAAGAGAGAGAAAAGCUAGCAAUUAUAUAUAUGGCAAUUAAUUAAUUAAAAAUUAGUAAUAACCUGGAAAACACUCGACCACAGUCACAAGAAUGGCCUCUGGUGCCACAAGUUUUGAGAUGGGCCUUAUAAUCUGACUGAACCGCAUAACCUUUUGAGCAUUUCUCGCACACCCACUGUUUGUUAUUGCUGUGUUUCCUCCUAAAGUGUUUCUUAAUUCCAACAAGAUCUCCGAGGGCGUGGCACGGGUCAUGGUGUAGGCAACUGGGUUCGGGGCACACAAAAACCCGCUUCCUCACCUCCGGCGACUCCCUCUUGAGCAACUUCCACGGCACCUUGUGUCGCCGGCGGUGCAUCUGAAGGUUCUGGUCCCUCUGAAAUCCUUGGUUGCAGAUCUCACACACGUAUCGGUCCGAUUCCAAUAACGUCUUUGGUGAUAGCGAAACCACCUCCGCAUCCGGAUCUGUACCAAUUAACAUAAGCAAUUUCCCAUAAUCACAUACUACUAUAUGUCAUAUAAAAUUAAAGCAGGAGCUGAAUUUAAUGCUAUAUUUGUACUAUUUACAUACCUGGAGUACCAGCUGGUCUUCUUUUUCUUUUGUUACAAAUCUCAUCAGAAGAAGAAGAUGGACCAGUUGAAGCUGUAGUAUUAAUAUUUUCUAACAUGGGGUUGGAUUUUUUUGAUGCUUUUUUUUGAAUUAUAUGUAUAUGUCUUACAAUACCUAGCUAGAAGCUGAUGGAUCAAAGAACAAUAAAAUCUUUAUUUACUUGUAAUUAGUACAGCUGGGGAAGUGGGGGAGUUUUUUCUUUCAGCUUUAUUCAUACCAGGCACUAAUGGUAGAGAGAGAAAGAGGAGAGAGAGAGAAGAUAUAAUGGUAGCUAGAUGAAGGAAAAAAGGAAGAAGAAAAAGGGAGUUGCUGCUUUAAGCAGUCAGCUUUCUUUUAAGCUUUUUAUUUAUUUAUUUUUCAAUGAACUUUCUUUCAUUGACCCCCACCUAGCUAGAGAGCAGGUAAGGUUGAGGCAAGUCUUCUUCUAUAUAAAGCUUAAAACAGUGGUGUAGGUUAGGUUAGUGGUGACCCAAUCACAUUGCUACAAAAUUUGAGACCCCACAGGAGGAGUAUUUUCUACACAAACAAAAAAACAUAUAUCCCCUCUCCUCCCCUCCAUUCCAUAACAAAACAAACUUGAUCUCAUUAUUAAUUUACAAAUGUAAUUUGCAUGAAUAAAUGCAUCCUCUCCCUUACGUUCACGUGACCUUACAUCUGCCUCACGUGACCUUCCCAUCAACCCUUAACCUUUGUUCUGUACAGUAAAGUUGAAGCUAGCUAGCGCUUAAAAAAUGAGUUUUCAUAUGUAUUGACCAAGUAUAUAUAUAUAUACAUGCAGUACUAUACGAUAUGAUGACCUCAAAGUAAACGUGCAUGAUUUGUGUUGUAGAGCAGCUUUAUAAAAAAGAUAAGUAUAUAAAGAUAGAUGAGAUUAAUUGAAUUGAUCAUUAAUGAAGCACGAUUACUUGCUUAACUCGAUCAAGGACGACACAGUAAUCAUUUUAUCAAGUUUUUAUCCUACUCAAAAGUUUAUUUAGCACUGCAUGCAUCCCUCCUCCAUGUGGGCUCAAGUGCAAAUUAGGGUUCUCUUGACCUAAUUGAAUUAAAUGCACAAAUUAGGAUUUUACAUUAUAAUCAAAUGAAAAGACGGAAGAGCCGAAAAUAAAGAAGCAAGACCUGAGAGAAUCUUCCACGUGUCCCGAGGCAGAAGACACGUGGAGGCGUCUCAUUUUUGGAAUUGAUUGAGGGAUUGGAUUGGUGGCUAGAAGGGCAGGACGAUCUGGGCAUUACUCUAAUGACUAAGAGUAAAUUUGGGAUUUCCCCGAGAUCAUGUGCCUAGCACAUGACCACUCUCCAGAAAACCCUAUAAAUAACCCUUCCACUCCAUUGGGAAGAGGACCUCACUUUAGACCUCUCUCCAGACACAGGACUCAGACUCUUUUGGUGACUUAAGACUUGGAUAUUCCACCUAAAAGCACUAAAAGGGUUUGGGACACUCGCUCUCAACUCAAGGGACUCAACAAGAAGGCUCUUGGAAUCCCAAUAACCCUAACCCAGUUUCCAGAUUCUAGGGGUUCUGCCACGCGUCGUCGGAGUAAUCGCCCACCUGUCGUUCUCCCCUCUUUAAUCAAUCAAUCAAUUUCGUGCUCUUCGUGGAUUUCUCUCCUCCUCAGCCAACAUGAAACCCUAACCCUAGCAAGGUACGAUUUCCUUGCCCACAUUCUUUUGGCGACUCUGCUGGGGAGGUGUAGAAUUCGUGAAGGGUAUGCCCACAACUCGAAGUGGG